UGAACUGGACAGAGGUGGAAGGCUGUGACACAGUUUUUUUUCUCUUUUAAUUUUUAUGAGGGGUAAAAUUGGAACCCAAUGUCUAGUUGAAAAAGCAAUAUAAAUUUUAUUUUAAAAAAUAUAUGUGGCAAAUUCUAAAUGGAAGUAUCACCCGCUAACAUAGUGAUAUCAUAUUAUUCUAGAAUUUAUUCUUUUUUUUUUUUUUUAUGACACAGAGGAAAAAACCCCAAAUAGAACCUACACAACAGGAACUAAAUGGGGUCUAGAGACCCCAAUCCUAUCAUUAACCAAAGCAGCUUCAGCCCAAAGAGGCACCGAUUCAAACCAAUACACGCCUAAGUCCAUAUUAUAGCUACCAUUAGCAAGACAGUCAACCAAGCAGUUCUGCUCCUGAUAGACAUGCUGCAAAUCACAAUAACUGAGCAAAUUCAUAAAAUCCCAGUAACUAGCUAACAUACCAUCCAAGGGAUCACCUCCAAUAGUAUCAGGAGACCCAUUGUUUUGCUAAAAUACAUUUCACGUAAGUGCCAUGUGUGCAAGAAUAAUAAUAAAUUUAUUUAACCACUAAAAAAAUAAGAUUUUUAAAAAAUAACUUUAAUUUUCCAUUUAAUAAAAGAGUAUACUAGUGAUUUGUCCUUUAAAUUUAUAAUUAACUUUUAAUUAUAUCUUUUUUUUAGAAAAUUAAGGAUAUGAACUUUUUUCCCCCUCUAAUUUCCCCCAUAUUGUAUAAAUUCUCAAUAUUUCAUCUAACUUUCAGUUAAAUUAUUAUUUUUUUUUAAAAGAAAAGAAGAAAAUUGACCAAAAAAAAGAAGAAGAAAAAGACACUGAACCAGCAACCUUAUCACCCCCCCUCCCUAGCUCUCUCUUCCAGCACAUCAACCCCAUCACAACACAGCCAAAGUACCCUAAAACCCAGCAAAAAAAAAAAAAAAAAAAGUCCCCAAAUUGAAUGAAUCUUUGUUUGAGAAAGGCAUGAAAGUACUGUUAUGGACAGCUAAUCUUAAUUUGCAUCUGAGUCAACCUGCUUGAACCCCAUUGUAUCUUGAUCACAGGGGCCUACUAAAAAGGAAAUUUAGGGAAAAAACAAGCAGAAUGAAAUAAGCUCACCAAGGGACACUGUUGGUUGGUGGGGUUGGAGGAAGAACAUGGUGGGUUCCUGAUAGGGGUGGGCAUCAAUCCAGCCGAUCCGGUCAAUCCGGCCGAACCGAUUAUAUUGGAUUGGUUUGGUUUGGUUUUGACCAAAGAAAAAGUCAAUAUUUUGAAAAACCGAACCGAACCGGUUUGGUUUGGUUCAGCUGUGGUUUGAGAGUUUUAAAAACUGUCCUAAACCGAACCGGACCGAUUAUAAAUCAAUUUAUUAUUUAUUUAAUUUAGUUUACAUGUGGCAAGGUUUGAGUGGUUAUUUAAGAGUGUACCAUGUACCCUGCAACACUUGAUUGGACUCCAAAACUACAACUCACGGACACAUCUAAGUUAUCUAACCAUUCUCUCUCCCUCAGAAAAGCCUCUCUCCUAUCUCCCUUCCUUCGUCUCUUAACCCUAGCCGCAACUCCCUCUCAUUAUUUCUCCAUCUCUCUCUGCUACCUCUCCCUCUCUCUUUGUCUCUCUGCUACAUCUCCCUCUCCCUCUCCCUCGACGCUAACUCAAGCCAACAUGAUUUGAACUCGGCGAAACCCACCCAUUUGUCCUCAGCGAAAUCCAUCUCUACAAAACCCAAGUUCCAUCAUCGACCACCAGGUUAUGCAAGGAUUGAUUAUGGGAAUAUUGUUGGUGGUGGAUCGUCAUCAUCAGCUGGGUUUGUAAAAUAUGCUAGUUCUGUCUACUACUUUAUUUUUUGUAUUGUCUCCAAUAACUGGUUAUAUAUAAAAAGUUAGAGAGUUGAAAAAUAAAAUGGUAUUUUCUACGAGGCCUAACUUUUCAUUUUUAUGGUUAUAAAAUAUGCUAAUCUAUUUUAUUGUACAAAAAUACUGUAGCAUACCUUGCUUUGAUUUAGUUUUGUUCAUAGAAUAAUGUAUAUAAAAUGUUGCUUAUGUGAUAUGCUUGAUGCCUGUUAAAGAAGGAUACCUUAUUAUUAGCUUUUUCUCCUUGUUCUUUUUGUUAAAGAAGGAACAAAGUUAUGAACUUAGAUGCAUGCUAGACAUUGGAAUAGUUAAUCAAGUCUUGGUUGAAUUUUAGACUUAAGAAUCCUUUGGAAAUAUCAGUUAUUAAAUUGAGAAAUUUGGUUUCCUUCUGCUGUUAUUUCCUCCUUUGUCUUCUGUUAAGGUAGAAGUUUUAGGCAUUUGUUAUAAUUGAGCUGGUUUCUCGUUUCCAGAGUUUAGCUGUUGGCCAUGCAGAAGUUGAGGGGCUCUCUCGCAUUACUACUGUUGUUCCUGGUACAGACGAAUCAAUUAGCAAGUUGGUGCAGCAGCUUUAUAAGCUUGCCGAUAUUCAUGAUUUGAGAAUGUUUAACUAUUACAAAGAAUGCAUUUGUUUAAUAUGUUAAAGUAAAAUUGAUUCGUUCUCAUCUCUUAUGAAUUGUGAUGAAUGCAAUGAGUAAAUUUAAUGCUACUUGGUUAAUGCAAAUUAUGUAUAUGUUUGUUUUGAUGGAAAUUGUGAACUUAGAUGCAUGCUAGACAUUGGACAACCUUUGAAUAAAUGGAAUGAUGUUGUAUUAGCCUUUGAUGGAAUGGAAUGGAAUGAUAUAAUGGCAAAAUGUUAGCAUUAUAAUGUAAGAGCAGGUUGAAAAAUGCAUGGUUUUGUGUUAGGCACAAACCGGCCGAACCAAACCGAUUACAAGUGGUUUGGAUUGGUUCGGUUUCCAUUAUGAUUUUAGGCUAAUCCGAACCAAACCGGACCAUUAUUUUCUUAUUGGUUCAGCUGUGGUUUGAGAGUAAAACCGAACCAAUCCGGACCGUGCCCACCCCUAGUUCCUGAUGUCACAUAGGUAAGGAAUAAAAACGAAAGGAAAAUUAGGCCUCUGUGGUUAGUGGUUUCCAAAAGAUUGUCUUUAAAAUGCUUGCAAUUAUGAAUUGUGGGGGGAGGGGUUUAUGAGAGCAACUUCUGCUCUUUUAUCUUCUUUUGUGUUUGUCUUCAUGCUGCCACUUCUUUUAACCAAGAGGUCUUAUUUCUUAGUUUGGCUGUAAUCUUUGAUUUGUUUGUUAAUCUACUGACCAAGAAUUGGAAAUGGAAGCAACAGAGCCACUAACCCAGCUGCCGACGACAAAGAUCAAGACCCAUCGUGCCUAGACCUCAAGAGGGAUGCCACUGCAGACGCCGACAACCGCCUCCGCGGGUGGCACCACUCCCGCAUCAUCCGAGUCUUGAGGGCCUCCGACGGCAAAGAUUGGCACAGCAAGGUGUGCAAUAUAAGAGAAAGCGCCAUUCUUGAUAGUUUUUGUUUGCGCACAGAGAGAGAGAGAAUUUCUGUUUUUAUUUUUAUUUUUAAUGUAUAAAAUGACCAUUUUGCUCAUAUUUUUAACGGCAAAUUGGAUGAAAUGUUGUGGAUUUAGACGGAAGGGAGAAAUUGGCGGAAAAAAAAAAGGUUCACAUUCUUAAUUUUCCAUAAAUAAAAAAAUAAUAAGAGAUUAAUUGAAAGUUAUGUACAAAUUUAAGAGGCAAAUUACUAAUAUACCUUUUAGUAAAAUAUUGAAGGUAAUCUAACUUCACACAAUUCUAUGCGUUUACUUUUUUUUAAUAUUAAUAUAAACGAUUGUUUCACACUACCAAAAUACUAUAAUUAUUAAACCUAAAACCCCGAUAUGCAAAUCAAAAUCAUUUUCACUAAGCUAACCCCAUCGACGCUAUGCAUUAUUUAGAAAAAAUGUAUUGCAUGUGACAAGAGGAGGCUAGGCUCCCUUGGAUCAAUGGCCUUAACAGCGAUAUGGAGGAUGGGGUAGCUUCUCCCACAAUAAUGGGUGGUCCAAAAGCAUGGCGGACAUAUAAAUUAUUAUCAUUACUUCGCGUCAUCGAAUCAAAUCUUUUUCAUUUCGUAUAAUUGUGUAUUAGUUAAUUAAGUCGGCCACAAGAGGAAAUCGCUUGUGCAUUCAAAACUUGAAUAUUUUGUCCCUUGCUCAGUGCCAUGGCUGUGUGACCUUCACAACUAACCUCUGCCACAAGUUUUAUAUCGGAAGCUUCAAUAAUUUUGGCCUCACAACCUAGACAAUUUCUAUAUUAACAUCAAACAAGGACUCGGAUUUCAAGUGGGGCAACCAAAACCAGAAGCCAAAAAGCAGAGCAAUGGCUCUGUUAUCACUUCUGAAUCAAACAUGGCAACAGCUCCAGAGCAAUCUUUUCCUGCUUCCCAUUGUCUUCCUUUCUCUCUACAUUUUGCUUUCACUUGUUAGAUCAAGUGGGAAACCACUCAACCUACCACCUUCCCCACCAAAGCUGCCUAUAAUCGGAAACCUCCACCAGCUAGGCUCCUUCCCGCACCGCUCCCUUCGUGCUCUCUCCAAGAAGUAUGGCCCUCUGAUGUUUCUGAACUUGGGCAAUGUCCCUGCUCUGGUUGUUUCAUCUGCAGACAUGGCCAGGGAGGUCAUGAAGACUCAUGACACUGUCUUUUCUAGCCGACCACAAACCACUGCUCCUGGUAUCUUGUUCUAUGAAGGCCAUGACGUGGCCUUUGCGCCUUACGGAGAUUACUGGAGGAAAGUUCGGAAGAUUUGUGUUCUUGAGCUGCUGAGUCUUAAAAGAGUGCAGCAGUUUCAGUACGCUAGGGUGGAAGAAGUUGCAGAGAUGGUUGCCAAGAUUCGAAAAGCGUGCGGCGCGGAGUCUCCCAUUAAUCUCAGUGACACGCUGAUCUCCACCUCCAACAACAUUGUUUGUAGGUCUAUUCUCGGAAAGAAGUUUGAUGAUGCAGAUGAUAGUUGGUUUGGGGACACGGCGAAAGAUUUGAUGGUGAAAGUAAUGAGCUUCAGCUUUGGAGAUUUCUUCCCUGCUUUGAGAUGGCUUGACCAUGUUAGAGGCUACAUUGCAGGUUUGAAAGCGAUUUUUUCGCGAUUCGAUAGGUUCUAUGAUCAGUUGAUUGAUGAACACAAGACAGCAAAUGGGGAAGGGAAGGCUAAUAAGAAGGAUUUUGUGGAUAUUCUCCUCCAAGUUCAAAAUGAUGGCUCGCUUGACUUUGAUUUCACAAAAGAGGACCUCAAAGCACUUCUGCAGGUCUGUAUAAAUCUAUAUAUAUAUGUGUGUGUGUGUGUGUGUGGCUGAAAAUCAAUUUGGUUUUUUGGUUUUUAUGAUUUCAGGACAUGUUUGUGGGUGGAAGCGAUACUAGUUCGACGUCGAUGGUAUGGCUAGUGGCAGAGCUUGUGAGAAACCCAAGAGUGAUGAAGAAAGUCCAAGAAGAAGUAAGAAGAGUUGUGGGGGAAAAGGGAAAGGUAGAAGAGAGUGACUUCAACCAAAUGAAGUACAUGAAAUGUGUCAUCAAAGAAAGUUUCAGACUGCAUCCUCCAGCUCCUCUUUUAAUUCCUCGUGAAGCAACUGCAGAUGUGAAAUUGGGAGGCUACGACAUCCCGGCGAAAACAAGAGUGUUCGUCAGUGCAUUUGCCAUACAAAGGGACCCGAAAAUCUGGGACAAGCCAGAGGAGUUUAUCCCGGAGAGGUUCGAGGACAGCUCCAUUGAUUUCAAAGGCCAGGACUUUGAGCUCCUCCCAUUUGGUGCUGGGAGACGGGGGUGCCCUGGAAUUGCCUUUGGGAUUGUUUCAGCUGAGCAGGUGCUUGCCAACAUUCUCUACUGGUUUGAUUGGAAAGUGCCUGAAACUAGUGGCAAUGCAUUGCCUGAGGCCUUGGACAUGAGUGAAGUUUACGGGCUCACAGUCCGAAAGAAAGCUCCUCUAAAUCUUGUGCCAGUGCCCUACUUCCCCUGAUCCCUCCAUUCAGGAGCUUUUUGUUUUUGUUGUAGAAGAAGUUGCAUCUGGAUUAAUAAUAUGGUCAAGUAUCAAUUGUACCUCUAACAUUUCGAUUGAUAAUGAUAGAGGGAAUAAACUCUAGAAAUUGUACCAGCUGCUUUCUUACCUAGACUUUUUGAGGCAUUUUAACAAAGACUUCUCCCAUUCUCCAUUGCAAUGUAUAGCUUCAAAUUCCCAUUUAAUGUGAACUUAUCUAAUGGAUUGCGAAUAAUUUAUAUGCAAAUAAGGGUGAACCCGUCUAUUUAACCGCUACAAACGCGUUCCCAUUAAAUGAGAAUUUGCAUGGUGCCAAAAUCACUUGGUAUGAUUCUCUCAAGAAAAAAUUACCGGCAGAUACUGCAGUAUGCGGCAGCCUAAAUGGAGUCCACCACCCAUUGUGAGAGAGAGGCUAUUGAUAUGUGCCUAUGGAAAUGUGUAGCAUAUGUACCUAUUGAUUUUCUCUUAUCCUUUUUUACUGCUAUAUAUUUAUCUUUGGUAAAACUUGAUAUGCUCUGUAAUUUUUCCCUUGUAAAUAAUCUACACCAACCAAGUUUGGUGAAAUGCCUCACAUAGGUUUUCACUGUAGGACCUUCUUUGUCAUGCCCCAUUAGGACAAACCUAUUCAUAUUUGAAGCCAGACAACCUAAUCCUUGUUUCUCAGAAUUACAUUAAAGCCCCUGAUUAUAUGAAGGGUUUUUUGUUCUUUUCGUUUUCCAAUGUUCCUUCUUGUCUUCUAUUUUGUUUUAGAAUCACGCGCGGUUGCCUUCAUUUUUGGAUUUUUGCUCUUUUUCAGAAGAAUAUAUUUUCUUUUUGUUCUAACCUACAAGCCAAUCUAUGCAAAUGGACAACUCCAUAUUUACAAAGUCAAAGCGUGGAACGUUCGUUGAGCUUCUGAUCAUGCUUUUUUAUUUUAUUUUAAAUUAUAUGAAAAAGUUUAGGGGAGGGAGAGGAGCAUCUGAGAUCGUGCUUUCCCACCUACUACAAGUUACAACAAUGCAAAUAUUAAAAGAUAUAUUAUAAUAUACUAGGAAGCACGGGCGAACCCACGUGCAAUAAUGUAGGAAAACAUUAUAAAAGCAUGCCUAAAACAUGAAGAACAUGUGCAGGAGGUGCUUUUCAUCUGCUUCUUGCAUGCCUUAGGUAUGGAGAUUGAGAACUUUUCUCGAAAGUUUUAGCUUCCCUUGCCUUUUUGCUUCUGUUGCAGGCAAAGCAGUCAAGUUGUGCACAUGAGACGGCUCUAAGUGCAGCAUGUUUUGUGGGGCUUGGGUGUGAAUCAUAUGUGGCCGUAUUUUAAUGGAUUUUUUUUAAUCAUAUGAUUCAUGAAAAAGAAUUAACAUUGGGGUCCGAAUCAGAGCCAACUGCUACAUGCAUGACUUAUUAAUUUUUUUUCGGCUGGCAAAAUCUGGGGAACUGUUCUAUAAAAAGAAGUGAGAUUUCCAAGUGUCCAACCAAACCCAACAACACAACACAACACAACAUUGCAGCAGCAGCAGCAAUGGCUCUUCUAACACUUUUCAAUCAAAUUUGGCAAGAAGGGCAGCUGCAAAGCAGCACCAGUUCCUUCAACAUUUUCCUGGUUCCUAUUCUCUUCCUUUCAAUAUUCAUCUUGUUUUCGCUUACUAGAUCAUCCUCACCAAGUGAGAAAAACCGGAAACUCAAAUUGCCACCUUCCCCACCAAGGCUGCCUUGGAUUGGAAACCUUCACCAGCUAGGCUCAUUCCCACACCGCUCUCUUCGAGCUCUGUCAAAGAAGUACGGCGAUGUAAUGUUCAUGCACUUUGGCAAAGUUCCAACUCUGAUAGUUUCAUCUGCAGAGAUGGCCAAGGACGUGAUGAAGACCCAAGACAUUGUGUUCUGCAGCAGGCCUCAAACUACUGCUCCAAGCAUAUUGUUCUACGACGGCCAUGACAUUGCGUUUGCUCCUUACGGGGAGUACUGGAGACAAGUUCGAAGAAUUUGUGUUCUUGAGCUUCUAAGUCUCAAAAGAGUGCACCAGUUUCAGUACGCAAGGGUGGAGGAAGUUGCAGAGUUGGUCAGCAAGAUUCGCAAAGCCUCCGCCAGCGCGAACGGUGCUCCCAUUAAUCUUGGGGAGCUGCUGGUGUCAACCUCCAACAACAUUAUCUGCAGGUGCAUUCUUGGACAGAAGUUUGAGGACAAAGAAGACAACUGGUUUGGGGAGACCACAAAGGAGUUGAUGACUCAGGUGAUGAGUUUCAGCUUUGGAGAUUUCUUCCCUUCUUUGAAAUGGAUUGACCGUGCCAGAGGCUACCUUGCAUAUUUGAAAUCAAUUUGGUUAGAAUUUGAUAAAUUUUUCGAUAAGUUGAUUGACGAACAUAAGGCAGCAGAGAAAGAAGGUAAGCCUCGUAAGAAGGAUAUUGUGGAUAUUCUCCUCGACGUUCAAAAGGAUGGCUCGCUCGACUUUGAGCUCACUACCUCCAAUGUCAAAGCAAUUCUGCAGGUACGUAUAUCCUCCCUAGCUUUAGUCACAUCACACUCACUCACUUUCUUUUCAAACACGCACACGCACACAGGCGCACAUUAAUAAAUCAAUAAUAUAUUUUGUAUUUAUUGAUUACAUUGCUAACAACUCUUUUAAUAGAGGUGAGCCUCAUGAAUUUAUGUGAGAUUCACCUGUAUUAGAGAGGUAGUCAGGAUUGUGAUUAGUAAAUGUCCAAAUAACAACUUUUUAUUUAUUUAUAAAUAUAUAUAUAUAUAUAUAUAUAUAUAGCUGAAGAUUGAUUUGGCUUGUUAAUUUUAUGAUUUUAGGACAUGUUUGUGGGUGGAAGUGAUACUAGUUGGACAGCAGCGAUUUGGUUAAUGUCUGAGCUUUCGCAAAAUCCACGGGUGAUGAAGAAAGUCCAAGAAGAGGUAAGAAGAGUGGCGGGAAAAAGGGGAUAUGUAGAGGAGAGUGACAUCAACGAAAUGAAAUACCUGACAUGUGUGAUCAAAGAAAAUUUGAGACUUCACCCUCCAGCUCCUCUUUUACUUCCUCGGGAAGCAAUGUCUGAUGUAAAAUUGGGAGGUUUCGACAUCCCUGAGAAGACACAAGUGUUUGUGAAUGCAUACGCAGUACAAAGAGACCCCAAAGUCUGGGACAAGCCAGAUGAGUUUAUGCCAGAGAGGUUUGAGGAGAACAACGUUGGUUUCGUAGGUCAGGACUUUGAACUCAUCCCAUUUGGUGCUGGGAGAAGGGUGUGCCCUGGACUUGCCUUUGGGGUUGCUUCAGCGCAAUAUGUGCUUGCCAAUAUGCUAUAUUGGUUCGACUGGAAGUUGCCUAGUGGUGGCAGUAAAUUGGCUGAGACCUUGGACAUGUCCGAAGUUUACGGUCUCACAGUCCAUAAGAAAAGUCCUCUUUAUCUUGUUCCAACACCAUACUCCCCUUGAUCCCUCCAUCAUCCAGAGUUUUCAUGGCUUUUACUUAUGCUCUUAAAUCUGGUUUUUAUUUAUAUUUUUGAUGAACAAGGUUGUAUCUGCAAUACCUGCAGCAACGUAAUUUUUUAUAAUAACAGAUAUAGAGCGGUAUAUGUAAGGCCUCUCUGAGAUGUUUUAAUCUUCUUUGGAAAUUAUGAAAUGCAUUUAAUUAUAGUAUCUCUUGAACAUCUCAAGAUAAAAUGGAUAUGGUGAAAUGGAAGGAGAGAUGAAGCAGUACCAAAAAUAGUUCAAGAAGAGUACCGACCAACCACACCUAACUAAAAACCCAAUUAAAUGGUAGCAGAUAUGGCUAAGCUAAGGUAAGUUUCAAUUAGCAGAAUAAGCAUAGCAAUUAGUACAUGCUUCAGCAGGUUAUGAAUGAUCCAUAAGCUGUUCCAAAAGUUUAUUUUGAUAUUUAAUUGCUAGUAGUUUUGUUGGGAGUUUUAGAGAACAAUGGUCAUAUCUUCUGGUAAUCUUUAAUUAAACCUUUAAUUUCUUUUCUUUUCUUUUCUUUUUCGGGUCCGAAGUAGUAGCUCUUGAGACUCUCCUAAUAAGAUAAUUAAUUUUCUUGACUGAUACUUCUAUAGUAAUUUAGUAUUGUCUAGAUGGGAAUUCUUUGUCUUAUGGGCGUCAGCAAAAUAGCUGCUUAUUGACUUUCCUUGAACAUUUGUUAGCCCAAGUGAAAAUCAUUAAGCAUCAAAAUAAACUCCAGUUGAAUGACCCAUGCCAGAUAAUAUUAUAGGCUUUUAUGUUCUCUAAUUCUACAUCAUUCUUGCUUCUAUACACCGAUUAUCUGGGGCAUGGUUUUUACAUAAUAUCAGACAGUCAGAAUGGAAUUUACUGCCAAUUGUUAUUAUUCUUGGACUGAAUUGUUCUUUUUGGACAUGAUGUAAGUUUUGGGAUUGACAGUGAUCUAUUGGUCCCAUGAGUUUAAUUAAUUCUAUGCAGGUGUUUUAAGCAUUUGUUUAUUCAUAUAAACAGUACAAGUACCUCUAAUAGCUGUUUAAAGGUUAAAAUUGUUUACUUUAUACAUCAAAGGCUGCCGCUAUAAAUGACUGAGGAGCAGAGCUGUGUGGUUAAUUUCGUAUUAUUAAUCACAAGUAGAGGAAAUGGGUGUAUAUUAGUACCACAUUUGCACCAAGUCUGGCUAGAGCUACACAGAAACUUAACCAUCAACAACUUCCUCUUCCUUGCUCUUCUCUUUUAAUUUUGUGUUUUUCUCACAAUCACUAAAUCAAGGGGCAAACUUAACUUACCACCACCAUCCCCACCAAAGCUUCCGAUAAAUGGGAAACUUCACCAGGUAGGCACACUACCACACCGCUCUGUUCGAGCUGUCUCCGAAAAAUUUGGUCCUCUGCCGCUCAUGCACUUAGGCCAUGCUCCAACUCUUGUGGUUUCAUCUGCAUAAUUUGCCAAAGAAAUUAUGAGGACUCAUGACAUUGUUUUCUCCAACCUGAUCAAAACCACAGCUGAAGAUAUUUUGUACUCUGAAUGCAAAGACAUAAGUUCUGCUCCCAAUGGUGACUACUGGAGACAAGUUAGGAAACUAGGUGUUCUUGCACUUUUGAGCCAUAAGAGAGUAAAAACAUUUCAGUUUGUGAGGGAAGAAGAAGUUGCAAUUUUGGUCAGUAAGAUUUGCAAAGCAAGGCUGUCCGAGGCUUAUGUCCUGGUUGUGAACUCAAACAACUUAGUUGUUAGAUGUGUUCUUGGGAGAAAGUUUGAGGACAAAAAUGGUAAGAGCAAGUUUGGGAAACUCGCAAGGAGGAUGAUGGAACAACUUUCAGCUUUCAGUUUGGGAGAUUAUUUCCCUUAUCUGGGAUGGAUUGACCUCCUUACCGGAUUAAUUUUGCGCCUUAAAGCAACCUUCGGAGCAUUAGAUUCUUUGUUGGAUCAGGUGGUUGAAGAACAUAAGGCAGUCGAAAUAGAAAGUCAUCAGCACCAGUCUCUCAAGAAAGACUUUGUGGAUAUUCUCCUCCAAUUCCAAAAAUAUGGCAUGGAUGGUUUUGAACUCACUCAAGAAAACCUCAAAGCAAUUCUAAUGGUCUCUCUCUCUCUCUCCCUCUCUCUCUGUAUACAUUUAAUAGACAAUGUUCUCCACAAUCAAUAAUCCAGAUUUACAGUUUAACAACAUAAUAAUACUUUGACCAAAAAAAAACAUUUCUAUCUCUAAGCUUUUCUUUUUUGCAUGUAUGCAGGACUUGGUGGUGGGUGGAACUGAUACAACUUCAACAUUAUCAGAAUGGGUAAUGGCAGAGCUGGUGAGAAAUCCUAGUGUGAUGAAGAAAGCCAGAGAAGAGGUAAGAAGAGUGGCUGGAAAGAAGUUAAAGAUAAAUAUGAAUGACAUCAAUCAAAUGGAGUACUUGAAAUGUGUCAUCAAAGAAACUCUAAGACUACAUCCACCAGCUCCUCUUUUAAUUCCUAGACAAUCAUCUGCCUCAGUAAAAAUGUGAGGCUACGACAUUCUUCCGAAAAAGAGUGUACGUGAAUGCCUGGGCAAUCCACAGGGAGGGACCCCAAGUUCUGGGAAAGAGCAGAAGAGUUUUUACCAGAGAGGUUUGUGGACAGAAUGAUUGAUUUCAGAGGCCAACACUUUCAAUAUGUUCCAUUUGUUGUGGAAAGAAGGGCUUGUCCUGGAUUGACAUUUGGGAUUGUGACUGUGGAGUUUGUGAUUGCUAACCUAUUGUACUGGUUUGAUUGGAAGCUCCCCUGUGAGGGUGCCAUGGGGAGAGACUUGGAUAUGAGUGAAGUCAAUGGCCUAACUGUUCAUAAGAAAAUCCCUCUUCAUCUUGUUCCAAUACCAUACUCUUUGAUUCAUCACUCGAGAGAUUGUUGAUGAUUAUGUUAAAGUAUCAACACCAGCCCAAUAUCUACACAAUUCUAGAGUUGCAUGUCGGUUUAGUAUAGUCUAGAAAAGUUAGAUAUACUAUAUUAUUGUAGUAAGAAAUAUAUACAAGAAGAAAGCCAAAGUCGGUUAAGCAAGUCGGCAGCCAAAUCGAAGAUUGGGGAAUUUUCUGGGAGAUAGACAACUAUGCGGCUAUUGUAUAAUAGCCAAGGCAGUGGGAUGGAGAGCUAUGUCAGUCAGGAAUUUUUAUAAAUAGGCAUGAAGUCAUGCAUUGUAUAAUUGAGCCUUCUAGAGUUUCUCUAGAAGUGAGAAAGAGUGAUUGUAAGAGUCGGUCUUUUAUUUGAGAGUUCUCUUAUUGUAAUAUUUUAUUAGUCUAAUACAAGUAAUUUGUUUACUUGUUUUGUCUCACACUGAAUAUUUUGUUAGCAACAGGCUCUGCACUUGUUUAGCAAAAUGAGGAGGAGUUGCUUAAUUAAAGUCAGUAGAAAAGGAUUCCUCAACACAAUCAGGUAAGGAGAAGGAGUUCCAUAUUGCUUGAGCUCUAGGACAAAGGAUGAACACAUGCUGAAGAGAUUCCAGAUGGCAGUGACAAAUCGGACAAGCUGAAUUAUUUGUCAUUUUCCUUCUUGUUCUCUGCACAUUGGUCAGAAGUUUAUUUUGGGUUAUCAGCCACAGAAACACUUUAAAUUUGGGAGGAAUCUUAAGCUUCCAAAAAAAAUACCAGCUAUCAUCAUCCCCUUGAGACAAGCUGCAACAAAUAUUAUAAGCAGAUUUAACUGUGAACUCCCCCUUGGAACUAGGGGUGGGCACGGUUCGGUUUGGACCGGUUUUUGCCUCAAAUUAGAAUCGAUCCGGUACUAUUCAUCCGGUUUGGUUCGGUUCGGUUUUAAUUAAAAAAAUUUCAAAAACUGUCCGGUUCGGUUUGAACCGGUUUCGGUCCGGUUCCGGUUCCGGUUCGGUUUUGAACCGGAUUAUAAAAAUUAUUUUUUUAAAUUAUUUUUUAAUACAAUUCUCAACUGAAAUAUUAUUUUUUUACUUGAAAAUUAACAAAUUAUUCAAUUUCAUAUAAAAAAUAAAUAUUAAAGUGAGAAAAGAGAGAUAUUUUGAGAUUGAACUUGGAUAAAUAUUAGGUUUUUUUUCUACCUACCUCCACUCCUUUUGUAAUGUUAAUCUUUCUAAUGUAAGUGUAACAUUGCCACUUGAUUAUUUAUAAAUAAAAAAAUUUAUCGCGACAACGUAUUAUAAUUUGAAUGAAAUUAUCUCCAACACUUUUGCAAAAUCAAAACACCGUGAUUAUUUAUUCAUUACAAUACGCGUACAUGAAUUGAUAAUACCACAUACGUAGCAGUGUUGAAGUCACACAUAAAAUUAUCUCAUGCAUGUUCAAACUUGUAGUGCAGCCAUGACCUCAUUAUUUAAAUAGAAAGGGUAAGAAAAUAAGAGGAAAUUGAAUUCAUGUGGGUCAUGAGGAGACUUUCGGUACUGCAUCAUCAACUUUUCUUCUUCGACCUUUAUAGGCUGCCCAUACACCUGCACUUUCCUGGUCUUAUAUGUGCAAGAGCCUAGAAAUCGCAUAGAAGCCACACAAUCUCAUCUCUAGUGGAAAUAAGAAUAAUGUCAUAAAGAACAUUGAAGUCAAAAAUAUUUGGUGAAAAUGAUUCAAGAUUUGGUGGUCAAUGAUAGCAAGAGUCGCAUCAUUUACACGACGACAAUUGUGAAAAGAAACUACCCCAUCCUUAUUUCUUUCAAUUUUAUUCUCUCAUUUUAUAUGGUUGUAGAUUUCCCUUGAAGAGAAGAGUUAAUGUCCCCAAAACAUACACAUUCGCAACCAUUGAUUGGUACCGUGGACUAAGUACGAGGUUCCACGCAAUCAACUUUUGGCCGAGAGUAAUUUUACAAUACCCAAACUCUUCUCUUCAAUUAAUACUGUCUAAACUGCAAAGAGUUCAUUUGUGUCGCUAAACACAUGCGAAUAAGAUUUGUACUAUCUUAGCUAAUCACUUAACGAACCAUCAAUCUAAUAAAAUUAUGAUUUUUGUUACUCGACACUCGACACUUGACACUCGUUCAUAUUCAAAAACAAGUGCCUCCGUCACGACUGACCUAAACAUUGCUCAUAAAACCACAUUCCACUUGUGUGCGACUCACCUCACAGUAAUUUUCCCCCUAAUUGGUCGGUGAGAAAUUGAUGGGUCCAAUUUCCAAUUUCUAAUUGUUGCCCCAAAUCGAUAUUGUGGGCCACAAUGCCAAGGGAUGGCUGUUUAUUUUGUUAAUGAAUUGGCGCGUAUUUUCUUGUAAAUGGUUGGUUCUUGGUUGUCUCAAAAUCAAGACGCCCUUUGGGAGAGGCAAGUUUCAAUUUUACUUCAACCCCGUAGAAGCAAAUCCAUUUGAAGCCUCUGCUUUCUGCCCUCCUGCCUCUACCACUCAAAGCCUCCAACUUUUUAAGCCUCCUCCUCCCCCUAAACUCAAUUCCAGGCUCUCUCUCUCUCUCUCUCUCUCUUUCUGUCACUCUCCAAUGGAGGCUUCUUCUGCAACAACCAUGGCUUUGAGAGUCUCCUCCUCCUCUUCUUCUUCUUCGUCUUCUUCCUUCUUCUCCAUCUCCCCAAACCACAAGCCCAACUCACUCCCUUUCAAGUUCAGCACUUUCAGACCUCCUCAACCAACCCUCCUAAAAUCUCUCAAAUGCAUCCAAACCCCGCCUUCCAAUUCGAACCCAUUAAAGCAGCCUCUCAAAAACCCUCGCUCUGCCUCCCCCUUGUCCUGCUCUGCCCUUACCCUUUCUUCCUCUCAAACCACCGAGCUCGUCCCCUGCAAGCUCCAAACUUUGAUCUCUGAGUUCCAAGCUUUAUCUGAGCCGAUCGAUAGAGUUAAGCGCUUAUUGCACUACGCCACUCUCCUCCCUCCGUUCAACGAUUCGGACCGGGUCGAUUCGAACCGGGUCAUGGGCUGCACGGCCCAGGUGUGGCUGGAGGCCAAGAUGGACAAGGAGGGCAAGAUGAGAUUCUCGGCCGACAGCGAUUCGGAGAUUACCAAAGGGUUCUGCUCGUGCUUGGUCUCGGUGCUUGACGGCGCGUCGCCCGAUGAGGUCUUGAUGGUCAAGACUGACGACUUGUCGUCGCUGAAUGUGGGUUUGCCGGGUGCACAGAGGUCUAGGGUUAAUACUUGGCAUAAUGUGUUGGUCAGUAUGCAGAAAAAGACCAAGGCUUUGGUCGCCGAGCAACAGGGUAGACCGCCGUUCGAGCCGUUCCCUUCGCUCGUCAUCACCGCCGAUGGGAUUCACGCAAAGGGGAGCUUCGCUGAAGCCCAGGUUAGCAUAAUAGCAUGUGGUUCUUGUUGAUUUUUAUACCUGUAUUGCUUAACAGAAGUAAGAGUUCUGUUAUUUUUUUUUAUAUUUAUAUUCUAAGUUGGAUUUUGUAUUUAAUUGCAGGCGAGGUACUUGUUCCCUGAUGAGUCUAAGGUUGAGGAACUUGUUAAUGUGUUAAAAGAAAAGAAAAUUGGCAUUGUUGCACAUUUUUACAUGGACCCGGAGGUCCAAGGUAUAUUAACUGCUGCACAGAAGCAUUGGCCUCACAUCCAUAUAUCUGAUUCUUUAGUCAUGGCGGAUUCAGCUGUGAAUAUGGCAAAAGCUGGUUGCGAAUUCAUUACAGUUUUGGGUGUUGAUUUUAUGUCCGAAAAUGUCCGGGCUAUUCUUGAUCAGGCUGGCUUUGAAAAGGUAGUUCCUUGUCUCUGUUCAUGGAUUUGUCCUUAAGAAAUGCAAAACGUGUUCUGUACUUGUUAAGGCUUUGAUAUCUCGAAGGUUCAAUGCAAUGCAGAUUCUUCAAAUGUACUGCUCUGUAUCUAUCUUAGUGCAUGAGUUGAGUGUAGUGUGCUUUAUUUGUAGUAGAGUUAACUGGAUUUUGGUUUGGUGCCAGAUACUGGUGAAGCAGUUAAUGGAUUUAUUCCUUUUCCAUAAUCUUUGAUUGCAGGUUGGCGUCUACAGGAUGUCAAAUGAACGGAUUGGUUGUUCUUUGGCAGAUGCUGCAUCUAGCCCUUCUUAUAUGAGUUAUCUUGAGGCAGCUUCUAGGUCUCCUAAUUCGUUGCAUGUUGUCUACAUUAACACUUCUCUAGAGACAAAAGCAUAUGCUCAUGAGCUUGUGCCAACAAUUACGUGUACUUCUUCAAAUGUUGUACAAACCAUUUUGCAGGUUGGUGGGAUUACAACCUUUAUCUCAAUCAUAUGUGAAUUCUGCAAUGUUUCUUGUUAAAAGAUCAAACAGUAUUGGCUUUUUAUUCUUGCUAUCGUACUUUCGUUAAUGCCAAGUCCCUUAUCUCUGCAGGCUUUUGUUCAAGUGCCUGAUGCAAACAUAUGGUACGGGCCUGAUUCUUACAUGGGUGCAAAUAUUAGAGAAUUACUCCAGCAGAUGACUAAGAUGACGGAUGAAGAAAUUGCUGAGAUACAUCCAGAACAUAAUAGAGACUCAAUCAGAUCUUUGCUACCUCGCCUGCAUUAUUUUCAGGUAUUUGUAUUUUCAUGGACUGUUCUAGAGUUGUGCAUAAUUCCUUUCAAUUGGAGAUAAGGAUAGCAUAACAAUUUUUAUUCCUUUAGUUUUCUGUGCAUUUUCUGAUUUUGGUCGUCAUACUGCUUUUUUUUUUUUUUAAAUGAUUAUGCAAAUUUCUGGCAUCAGGAUGGGACAUGCAUAGUACAUCAUUUAUUUGGAAAUGAAGUUGUGGACAGGAUAAAAGAAAUGUACUGUGAUGCGUAUCUAACUGCUCAUUUCGAGGUGCCUGGAGAAAUGUUUUCUUUGGCAAUGGAAGCAAAGAGAAGAGGAAUGGGGGUUGUGGGCUCUACCCAGAACAUACUGGAUUUCAUAAAACAGAGGAUUCAGGAGGCUUUGGAUAGAAAUGUUAAUGAGCAUCUUCAGUUUGUGUUAGGAACGGAAUCUGGAAUGGUGACUUCAAUUGUCGCAGCAGUUCGUGGUUUGUUAGGUUCUGCAAGGUCUGGGGGAGCAGAGAUUAAUGUAGAAAUUGUAUUUCCAGUUUCAUCUGAAUCGGUGACAACAUCAUCAAAUGCUUCCCCAGGCCUUAACUCUGUUAAAGUGGGCGAUGUCAUACUUCCUGUUAUACCUGGAGUUGCCAGUGGGGAGGGAUGCUCCAUUAAUGGCGGCUGUGCAUCCUGUCCAUACAUGAAGGUUAGUUGCCCUUUUCAUGAUUGGUUUUGAUAAGUUCAUGAAGGUUAACACAUUCUUAAAUAUUCUAGCAUGUAAUCUGAUAUGCUGGAGAUAACUAGACUUUUAUGAAAAUAACCAGCCUAUGCAUGUCUCAGUAUUUUUCUGCAUGCAUGUAUGUUAAAUUGGUUGUAGUCUGUAAUACAUCUCAAACUAACACCUGGCCUAGCGUAGCAUUCAGGUCCCACAUAACAGGGACAUUUUUACACAAGAUCUAUCGUUCUUGUGAUACAUAAUUUGUAUUUCGUAGAGUGAUGUGACCAUGAAAAUGGAUGAGAAAAUUCUGGAAGAUAUCCCCUAAGUAUUCUAUUAGUAAAAUUGGUAGGAUGUUCUAUAAAAAGUACCUCUCAUCUUUAGUUUAACUCUCAAAGGUUGCAAGAAUAGCUAAUGCCAGACGUCCUUGGGUUUUCUGAUGUAACAGUUGGUCUUGGCAAGCCUUAUUGGAAAUUGAAUAAAUAGAAGUGGAUGAUUAGUUAUUGUUCAUUUUCCCUCAAGUUAUAUUUUCCUCUCAGAUAUGUUUGAUUGAGCUAAGGUUUCUCACAUAAUAUGUAAUGUAAAAUGCCAGAUGAAUUCUCUCAGCUCUCUCCUGAAAGUUUGCCACCACCUGCCUGAUGAGACGAAUUUUGCUCUUUCCGCAUAUGAAGCUGGCCGAUUCAAACUGCAAACCCCCAAUGGAAAAUCAGUUGCAGAUGUUGGGUGCGAACCAAUUUUGCACAUGAGGCACUUCCAGGUUAGUUACUGAGAACAGUAAAUAUCUGUAUACACAAGGAGCCUCUUGAGUUUUUAGACUCACCUCUCUGCGGAUAUCUUUUGCAGGCCUCUAAAAAACUGCCAGAGAAGCUCAUUUCCCAUAUUCUUCAUCCGUCGGGUAAUGGGAGCUCAUCAGUAUUAAAUUGAGUCAAGCUUAGCCUCAUGAAAUCAGCCUGGAUUAGCAAGCAGAUUAUGAAUCCUGGGGAAGGCUUCCUUGAAGCAAAGCUUUCAUUGCCAGAACUUUGUUGUGCCUUCUCUUCAAUUUCUUUUUCAUAAACGGGUCAUGCAGUUUAUCUAGCUUGAUUGCUCACAGCAUAGUUCAGUGUUUAGAUCUGUUGGAAUGAAAGUUAUAAUAAAAUUGUAACCCCAAAAAGAAAAGGCUAUAAUAACAGUGAUUGUUAUAUUUAAACUGUAUAGUUGUCAGAACAGUGACAUUCUUCAUUGAUUAACAUGGAUUUUAGAUUCCCCUCGUCCGGGGCAAUGCUACGCAGCCAACAAUUGUCAUCUAUGAGAUUUGAAUUCAUGACGUUCUCCACUAAAUUUAAUUAGAGAAUAUGUGUCGCGUGAGAAUAUGUGUCGCUAAACCAAAUUGGUUGAUAGGUUGACACAGCUGUGCAAUAAGAUGAACCAGGCCCAUGGUGAAUAAUGAGGUGAGGUUGUUCUGAUACAAGACCUCACCAACGAACCAGUAUUUAAUUUUUACUGUUGGAAAUAAUUGGUUAUUUUAUUGGCAAAAUUACCUGAACACUGUUGGAUUUUGGCUCACAAGAACAAGAGCAGUGAAUUUUGGCGCUCAUAUUUACCCCACGUCUCGCAACCAAAGCACAGUUUGGAAAUGGCAAUCUGGUAAUUCUGCCACCAAAUGAAGAUCAUAAAGAAAAACUAAUUAUUGGGCUGGGUCUUUAUAUAUAUAAUUUUGAUCAACACUAUUAUUUUAAUAAAUUAAAAAAAAAAUAAAAAAUAAAAAUAAAAAUAAAAAACAAUUCCCGUUGAAUAUUGAAUUGAGUGUGAAGAGGAAAUAGUGGGGUGCACAUUGCGUAAGGCAACAAACCGAAAUUCGAGUCCUUUUGGAACUCAACUCCCUCCUCUGGUUGAAGACGGUGUCGUACUGGGUUGUCGUUUAUAUUACGAUAAUCGCUUCCUCGUCUCGUCCCUCAGACUCAGAACAAACGGAGAAGAUAACCCCCCCAGUUUCUCUCACUGCAAAAACUCCCACCUGGUACGUUCAUCUUCAUUAUUAUAAUUUUUUUUAUAAAGAUUUUCGGUUCUAAUUACAAAACCCAUUGUUCCAGUUCUUAAUGCAAUCCAAAAUCUCUACUGGGAUCUAUGCAAUUACAGUUUAUUUAUUUUUUACCCAAUUGCGCUUUUUCUUUUUCUUUUUUUCCCAGAAUUGGGGAUUGGUUUGUUUCGGUUUAUAGUUGUUGACAAUGUGUAUGUUAAUUCGGGCCUGAAUUAUGUUUGGUUUGUUCUGAAGCUAUGAACUUUGUCAUGGGAACAUUCAAAUUCUGGAAAUUUAACAACCCAGAAUGUGGAUUUUGCAUUUGAAACAAAAACUGAGGUUAAAUGUAGUAAGGUUGUACUCAUAUGCUUGAUUUUUGGAGAGAGAAAAUCUGGUUUCCAUAGUCUGGUAGAUACUAAUUGUAAUUCAAUAUGAUAUUGGUCUUUUAAUGUUCAAAGUUACUUUGCAACUUACAAAUUCGAGAAGGGAACACCAUGGUCUUAUUGGAAAAUUGCUUGAUGAAUUUCUUUUGAGUGAGUUUGGAUGCAACUAAAGGGCCCUGAAAAUUGUUUCUAUAUAUGUUCGAGAAUUUUUUAGAUCCAUUCUUUGGACUUAAAACUUGCCCUGUAGAUGUUUCCCUUGAUACAUUGCUUCUGCUGGUGAUUGUGGUUCCACCUUUAGCAGCGUGAGCACCCAUAAAAUGAAUUGAAUGAAUGAUUGUUGAUGCUGAAUUUAGUCUCAUGAGUGGCACUAAUCUAAGUCUUGUAUUUUGACUGCACUUCAAAAGUACUCAUGCUGCAAUGAAAUUGAACGAUUUUUUUAUUCUGUCUCACAGGAUUCUGCUGCACCUGCAAGCUACAUGAUGGGCUCCACAAAUGGCUUAGCCGGUGCACAGGGGACGCAACCUCUAUUUUCGUUUGGGGUGAUAUCUGACGUCCAGUAUGCUGAUAUUCCUGAUGGCCGUUCUUUCCUUGGCGUUCCACGAUAUUAUAGGCAUAGCAUUGUUGUACUGCAAAGGGCUGUCAAAAGAUGGAAUGAUCAGAAGAGGCAUAAUUUUGUGAUCAAUUUUGGGGAUAUUGUUGAUGGAUUUUGCCCAAAAGACCAAUCCCUGGAUGCUGUAAGAAGAGUUGUUGACAAAUUUGAGGAUUUUAAUGGUCCUGUCUAUCAUAUGAUUGGUAAUCACUGCCUCUAUAAUCUUCCCCGCACCAAAUUACUUCCGUUGUUGAAGAUUCCAAGUGUUGAUGGUCGUGCAUACUAUGACUUUUCACCAACACCAGAAUUCAGAUUCGUUGUUUUGGAUGGCUAUGAUAUCAGUGCCAUUGGUUGGCCUCAAGAACAUCCAAAUACAAUAGAGGCUUUGAAAUUCCUUGAGGAGAGGAAUCCAAAUACAGACAAGAACAGUCCAGCUGGCCUUGUAGGCCUCGAGAGAAGGUUCCUUAUGUUCAAUGGAGCAGUUGGAAAGGAACAAUUGGAAUGGUUAGACGACAUCCUCAAGGAAGCAACAAAGUUGAAACACAAAGUAGUGAUUUGUUGCCAUCUGCCUUUAGAUCCUGGGUCAUCAGCCAAAGAAGCACUUUUGUGGAACUAUGACGAAGUCAUGAGUGUGGUACACCAGUAUAAUUGCGUGAAAGUUUGCCUUGCUGGGCACGAUCACAAAGGCGGCCACUCUGUUGAUUCCCAUGGAAUCCACCAUAGAGUUCUUGAAGCUGCCCUUGAGUGCCCUCCUGGGACAGAUGCAUAUGGAUAUAUUGACGUUUAUGAUGAUAAGCUUGAACUUACUGGUACUGACCGAAUGAAGAGCACUGACAUGCUAUACAAUCCUCAAGCAGACUUACAAGAUAACUGGCAUUAAGAAGUUCGUUAACAAAUUCUUUUGAAUUUGGUGUAUGUUAUUUGGAGAUGUGUGAUUAUGCAUAAGUCUUGAAAGGGCUUGGCUCGAAAUAGUUCCCUGCAUAUAUAUUGGGGAGACCAGAAACUUCUCAUGUUUUGUACUCCCAUGAGAACGAUAUAUACAAAAUCAUAUUUGACUGUCAUGACCAGUUUGUUGCUUUGCAUUUAUGUUCUGCGACACAAUUCAUGAAUACUCGUGAGUGCACAUAUUUGUCUAUGAAAGGUGAAAUUUGCGUAAACUUAGCCCUGUAAUGUAACUCAGAGUGCUAUUAUAUUCUUCUUUCAUAUUCUUCUUUUUGGUGUUAAUAUUGACUCUAAAAAUUUGCUACUUUUAAGAACGGAGUCUAGUAGCUUAGUGAAAAAGAGCAUUGACUUGCAGAUUAAUGUUUUCAUAUUUAAACUCAUGGCACCUUAAGUUCACCUUGAUAGUGUGUGUGAUAACUCCAAUUUGCAUGCUAGUUCAGGAAAGUACUUUGGUUUCUGUUGUCAUCUGUCUGCAUCAUUAACAUUCACUAAACAUUGCAUAUCAACUUUUUACAAAAAGUUAUUAUUAUAGAUUUUUCUUUUUUCUUCUCCCACAUAGACAAUGCUUCCAAUUUUCUGAAAACCAAUUUCAUCCUAGCCAUGUAACCCUUUCCACAUUGCCAAUUUGUCAUUUCUACCUUUCAAACCACAUUAAGCCCCACCAUUUAAUUACCUCUCAGUAUUAUAUAAAACAGUACGAUGAAAAUAAAAUACCAAAAACAAAAUCAUGCAAACUACUACACUCUUUUUUUUUUCUUUUUUUUUUGGGUCAACGCAAGGAAACUACUGAAGUCUGAGAUUGGCAGUUCAUAUUUUUCCUUCACUUCUCGUGGGACGACUUUGCCUUUCUCUUUUCAGCAAUAAAGAAACCAGCCAAGGACAAAACCGAGAAAACACUGAAGCAAACGGACGCAAUAUCAAGGGACGCGUGGCGUCCAGUGAUUGCCUGGACCACAAACAAGUUGGUUUCCUUUUGAGCGUCUGUGGUCUGACCGUAAGCCACCUCAACAUCCGCGGCGUCGUAGGCGUAGGCGCGUAGAAAGUACGUGGCGGAAGGCACGUCGCGCUCGAUGGUCCACUCGAAGCUCUGGUUCGAGCUGCUGUAGGGCCUAGCAACGACCUUGAAUUGGCAUGUCUUGUCCUUGUUGAGGCUGUCCACCGUCUUCCUCCACCCGCGGUCCACCUGGCUCACCGGCGCGUAGCAGAACUUCACCUUGAUGGUCUUGUAGGUUGAGUCUGAUCCAGCUGGGAAACUCUGGUUCAGACCCCACGAGACGGUGAGUUUGUCUAUCCCUGUUUUGUAAACUGCAGAAAUUUCAUGAAUCUUGAUUAGUUUUGCAUCAAUCUGGUAAAGAAAAUGAAAAAUUAAAGAAACCCAGUUGAAAAGUUAGGAUUUUGAACAAGAAAGUUGGAGACUUUGCGGGAAUUACAAUGAAAAGUAAAGGAAACCCAGUUUCAAAAUCAAGAUUUUGGACUAGAAAGUUGGAAAAUUUUAAUAGGAAAUGUUUAUAUAUACCCUGUCCUUCUUUGUGUGAAGCAGUGACUAUGAGAGUUUGUUUCAGAGACGAAAGGAGGACACCAUGGGAGGUUUCUGCUAAGCAAGAGAGGAGAAGAAGAGAAGCCAAAAGAAUCCCAGUAGAUGCCAUCUGAGACUGAGACUUCUUAAUUGCAAAUCACCAAAGCCAGAGAGAGAGAGAGUACAGGAUUUGAUUCUGAAGGUGGUGAUAUUAACAGGCACCUGGGUUCUCUUUAUAUACAAGGCACAAUGUUCAAAACCAGAAUAUUAUAAAAACUGAGAAUCGGGUUUGGCAGACGUAUGCAGAAAAGGUCAAAAGGCCCAAAGUGUAUGCUGGCUUUUGUGAAAUUAACGAUCGAAAACAUGCAAAUAUUUCUGGAGAAGCGUGUAAUAAUUAUACGAUGAGAAUGGCUAAAUGGCCCUAAAGUACACUGAAGGGGUAAGGGUUAUGGCCCUUAUGGGGUCUGUUUAUAUUAUUCAAAACCAGAUUUUUUGCGAUGGAUGUGUUUGGGGUUUUGUUUAUGGAUUGACUUUUAGCAGUUUCAAUUUUUAUACGCAGUUCAAGUUGUGAUGGACAAGACAAGAUGGAGAUAUGCGUGGUAUUGUGGCCCGAUGUUCAUUCUCUUUUUGUCCUUUAAUGUCCUGUGAAGGGCAAACAAACGAGACACCAAGUAAUUGGGAUGCAAUGAAGCUUUACGAUUGUUAGAAAAAAGAUCCUAGCUGAUCCCUAGAUAUUAUUAUAUGAUAAAUAAAAUAGAUUCUUUUUUUAUAUGAAUCUAUAUAAAUUCAAACGUCAUACUGAACAGAGCUGUCAAGUGGGAGAGGAGGUGUGUGUCCAACCUCCAACUCCAUCAUAUUCAAAACAGGUAUUUUACACUAGAAGUAGAACUGUGCAAGCAAGUUAUACUCAAUUAUUGAGAAGAGUCAACGAAGUAGCUCUCUAAAUAGAAAGUCGACGCAAAAUGCUUCACAAUUGCCCAAAGUAAAGUAGGAAGAAAAAAACAGAAGGCUAAAAGUCACUUUUAGUCCAUGUAGUUUGUGUUGACGUUAUUUGUGGAUAUUGACUUACUUUCCUUACACACCAAGAAUUCCUAUUAUAAUUGUAAUUGAUUUAUUUUAAUUCCUGAUUUCCUACUGUAAAUGGAUUUAUGAAUUUAUUAUUUACUUGCCCAUUCAGAUUUCGUUGUAUUAUAAAUAUGACCUCCUACAAGGAGAAGAAUACACAGAAAAUUCCCACAAACAAAUAUUCUCUCAUAGUUUUCAUAUUUUAGCAUGGUAUCAGAGCGGCGAUCUUGGAAUUGCUGACUCUAGUUUCAAUCCCCCGUCGCCGCUAUGGGGGUUGAUGAUUUUUUCAACCCUCAUGGAGGUAGCACCGCCGACUCCUUUUCUCAUUCUCAACCAAUCAUCGUUGAGUUGAGUGCCCAGAUGGCUCAGCUCCUACAUAUGCAGACUUUGACCCCGAACCCAAUCUAGAAUCAGGAUCUUCUUUUGACGACCCCGACCCCGACUAUGAUGAUGACGAUCCCGACCCCGACUCCGAAGACGACCCCGACCCCCACUCCGAUGACAACCCCGACCCCGAAUUUGUCUCUGAUUCAUACCCCGAUACCGAUUUCGACUCCGACUCAAGCUCAGAUUCCGAUCCAAAUUCCUACUCAACCUGUAUCCUAUGCAUCUUCCGCUGCACAGAUUAUGACUUCUCGACUAACGACCCCGACACAUGGACCAGAUUGCGCAUAUUGUGGUGAUCCGAGACACACUUGUGAGACUUGUUUUAAAUUGCAUGGCUACCCCGAUUGGUGGGCUACUUUUACAAAUCGAGGACAAUGCAAUAUGACCAGUAAUGGUACUGGUUAUGGAUUCCAUACUUCUGAUAAGAUUGACUCCAGGAGCUGGAUAAUUGAUUCCGGUGCAACUGAUCAUAUGACUUUUGAUCCUGAUGAUUUUCUGAAUACUACACAACCUCGACGAACCUGUAUUGCAAAUGUCAAUGGUGUUACUUAUCCUGUGACAGGGGUUGGCACUGUUAUACUUUCAUCCUCUCUCACACUGUCUAAUACUUUACUUGUUCCAUAUUUAUCCACUAAAUUGUUGUCAGUUAGUCAGCUUACUGAACAAUUGAAUUGUUGUGUACUCAUUUACCCGAGUUUUUGUUUGCUUCAGGAUAUUCACACUAAGGAGAUUCUUGGUUGUGGUACUAAAAGAGGGGGGCUAUAUUAUGUCGAUGACUUCAGUCCCGGCGUAGCUAACAAUGUGACACAUCCCUUUGAUAGCAAACAAAAGCAAAUCUGGUUGUGGCACCGUCGAUUGGGACAUCCGUCUUUUAGUUAUAUGAAGCAUCUUAUCCCAUAUUUAUUCUCAGGUUUCAAGGACUCCGACUUCACAUGUGAUACUUGUAUUUUGGCUAAGAGUCACCGUGUGCCCUACCUGUUGAGUACGAACAAGUGUACUACUCCAUUUACCUUAAUUCACUCUGAUGUCUGGGGACCUUCGCCUAUCACUGCUCAUUCUGGUGUUCGAUGGUUUGUCACAUUUAUCGAUGAUUGUACACGGAUGACAUGGCUUUAUUUGUUGAAGAAUAAAAACGAAGUGUUUUCCCGUUUUCAGUCCUUCCAUGAACAGAUGAAAACUCAAUUCAAUGCUCAAAUCCAGAUUCUUCGCUCAGACAAUCGUGGAGAAUUUGUCAAUCAUAACUUUCAAACUUACUUCCAACAACAUGGAAUUAUCCAUGAGACGACUUGUCCUCGGACACCACAGCAAAAUGGCGUUGCUGAACGAAAGAAUCGACAUCUUCUUGAAACCGCCCGAGCACUUCUGAUUGGCGCUCAUGUUCCUCGCCAUCACUGGGAUGAUGCUAUUGUCACCGCAGUACACCUGAUCAACCGCAUGCCUUCUGGUGUAUUGACCUUUAAAACUCCCUUACAGGGUGCUUGCAGAACACAGCCCUCUGCCCUUUAUUUUGGUACUCACACCCCGAAUCUUUGGAUGUGUGGCUUUCGUUCAUCUCCAUAAAAAUCAACGUAGCAAACUUGAUCCCUGUGCGCUUCGUUGUGUUUUUGUGGGUUAUGCCACUCAUCAGAAAGGUUACCGCUGUUAUCACCCUCCUACUCAACGAACUUAUGUCACUUUGGAUGUGACCUUUCUGGAAUCUGAGCUGUUCUUCCAUGACCCAUCAUCCAAUUCUACGCUUCAGGGAGAGAUACAAAGUGAAGAGCAGAAUUGGAGCAACUUGGAAAACAAAGAAAUUAUUCUCUGUACAGAAAUGAUUGAUCAUCCCGAGUCUGGAGCACAAGAUUACUCUCUGUCGAAAAGCGACCAAUCGCCCAUUCAUAGUGAUCAAUUGUCUGACCCACCUGAUCCAUGCGAAGAUAUUUCUGAUCCGAGUUUCACACCUACAGGCAAUACAGAACAACAAGAUGAAGACCCCAUCUCUAACUCAACAGUACCAACAGACCAAUCUCCUGAGAAUAUCUAUGAGGUAACUACUCCUACUAGACUUGUACAUUUAGAUGAUAAAUCUAUUGGAUAUCAAUUACCUUUCAGGCAAAAUCGUGGGAAGCCACCAAACCGUUAUUCACCUGAUAUUGGCAAGACAUCCAAGUAUCCAAUUGCAAAUCAUGUAUCCACUGAGAAGCUGUCUGAACCACUCAAGGCUUUUGUGCAUCAGUUGUCUGCUAUCCAUAUUCCAACUAAGGUCUCUGAAGUAUUGAAAGAUCCUAAGUGGGUCCAAGCUAUAAAAGAGGAGAUGAAAGCUCUUGAGAAAAAUCAAACUUGGAUAUUGGAGACUAUACCACGAGAAAAAAAAACUAUCGAAUGUAGAUGGGUGUUUACUAUAAAACACAAUGCAGAUGGAGCUAUCGAGCGAUACAAGGCAAGACUUGUGGCAAAAGGGUACACACAGACCUAUGGUAUAGACUAUGAAGAAACCUUUACUCCAGUUGCAAAGUUAAACACCGUCAGAGUCUUAUUGUCCCUUGCAGCUAAUUUGGAUUGGCCACUACACCAGUUUGAUGUAAAGAAUGCUUUUCUACAUGGCGAACUCACGGAGGAGGUGUACAUGGACAUUCCUCCUGGAUAUAAUACUUCUCAGACUGGAACAGUUUGCAGGUUACGAAAAGUAUUGUAUGGAUUGAAACAAUCUCCACAUACAUGGUUUGGACGGUUCACCAUGGCAAUUAAGAACAAUGGUUUCAAACAGUAUAACUCAAAUCAUACUCUGUUCUUGAAACAUCGAAAAGGGAAGGUAACAGCAUUAAUAAUCUAUGUUGAUGAUAUGAUUAUUACUGGGAAUGAUAAACAGGAAAUAUCACAGCUACAAGACUAUCUGGCUACGGAGUUUGAGAUGAAGGAUCUAGGUGGACUCAAGUAUUUCUUGGGAAUUGAGGUGGCUCGAUCACAGCAAGGCAUAUUUCUCUCUCAAAGAAAAUAUGUCUUGGACUUGUUGACAGACACAGGAAUACUAGAUUGCAAACCUGCGGACACUCCUAUUGUUCAGAAUCAUCAUCUUGGAGAAUAUCCGGAUCAAGUUCCAACUAACAAAGAAAGAUACCAAAGGUUAGUGGGAAGAUUGAUCUAUUUGUCACAUACUCGACCAGAUAUUGCUUAUGCGGUGAGAGUCAGUCAAUUUAUGCACUCUCCAAGUGAAGAUCACAUGAAUGCAGUUCUUCGGAUACUUAGAUAUUUGAAGUCUGCACCUGGAAAAGGACUUAUGUUCUCAAAGCAUGGUCAUCUAAAUAUUGAUAGUUAUUCAGAUGUAAAUUGGGCAGGUAAUGUAACAGAUAGAAAAUCUACAUCGGGUUACUUCACAUUCGUGGGAGGUAAUUUGGUGACAUGGAGGAGCAAGAAACAGAAUGUAGUAGCUUUAUCCAGUGCAGAAGCCAAGUUCAGAGGCAUGACUAAAGGUAUUUGUGAACUUCUUUGGUUAAGAAAGUUGCUUACUGAACUUGGGUAUAAACCUACAUCCACAAUGAAUCUCUUUUGUGACAACAAGGCUACUAUAGCCAUUGCACAGAAUCCGGUUCAGCAUGAUCGUACUAAACAUGUUGAGGUGGAUCGACACUUCAUCAAACAGAAGCUUGAGGCUAAAGUGUUUCAGUUUCCUUUUGUGAAAUCCGAGGAUCAAUUGGCGGAUAUUUUGACAAAGGCAAUUUCCAGUAAAGCAUUCCACAAUUCACUGGAUCAGUUAGGCAUUGGCGACAUCUAUGCACCAACAUGAGGAGGAGUGUUGACGUGACUUGUGGAUAUUGACUUACUUUCCUUACACACCAAGAAUUCCUAUUAUAAUUGUAAUUGAUUUAUUUUAAUUCCUGAUUUCCUAUUGUAAAUGGAUUUAGGAAUUUAUUAUUUACUUGCCCAUUCAGGUUUCGUUGUAUUAUAAAUAUGACCUCCUACAAAGAGAAGAAUACACAGAAAAUUCCCACAAACAAAUAUUCUCUCAUAGUUUUCAUAUUUUAGCAGUUUGGUACUUCAAUCACUUUUGACCCUAUAGUUUCAAUUUCGUCAAUUUUGACCAUGUAGUUUUAUAUUUGAAGCAAUUCAAGGACAAGUAGGUAUUCCUUUCAAUUUCUUUGAAGAUGCAAGGGGCAAUUUCGUCAACCCAAAAUCCUUGAGCAUAAAAGCUUGUCUGAAACUCCCCUAAAUUCAUAUUAGGGCUUGAAAUUGAUCAUUUGGGUUUAGGGCUUUUCAAAAUUGGGAUUAGUGGUUGAAUUUUAAGUCAUAAUAUGAAAUGAGGAGAAUUUCAAACAAGUUUUUACGUUCAAGGGUUUUGGGUUGACAUAAGAAUACUAACAUGUCCUUGAAUUGCUACAAAUAUGAAACUACAAUGGCAAAAUUGACGAAAUUGAAACUACAAAGUCAAAAGUGAUUGAAGUGUCAAACUACAGGGACCAAAAGUGACUUUUGGCCAAAAAAAUCUCUCUCGAUCAAGCUACACUGCUAUAGCAUUUUCAUAUAAAAGGAUUGGAAAUUGCUCUCAAAUACCACUAUUACGGUAGCAAAGUUCUCAAAUGACAUUAUUCAUUCCCGCAAUAAAUAGUUUCAUUAUAUAGAUUGCGUCUCGAUAUAUUGCCCCAUUAUUUUGAUAGCAAGCAGUUCAAAUAGUGUCGAUAUGACAUAAACAAAGUAUCAAAGUUCUAAGGAUACUAUUGAUAUUGUCCCAUUAGUUUGAUAGCAAACAGUUCAAAUAGUGUCAAUAUGACGUAAACAAAAGUAUCAAAGUUCUAGUGAUAAAAUCGAUAUUGCAGAUUUUCUACCAUAAGAGAAUUCAUAGCGGGGGGUGUAAAUUCGGGGGUGUAAAGCCAAUUUUAUAUUCUCUUUACACCUCUGGGGGUGUAAAUAUGUUUUUUCUCCAGUGGGGGGUGUAAAUUCGGGGGUGUAGCUGUGGGUCCCAGCCUUUUAUGUUGACUUUUCUUCAUUUUUCUUUUCUUUUCUUGAGUGGAUCCCACCUGCAAGGGAUGUAAAAAUAGAUGUAAAUAUACAUUUUAUUUUACAUCCCCAUAGUGGUGAUGUAUAUUUACAUCCAUUUACAUCUCUCUAUUGGAGACGAUUCCGGAUGGUCUAAUAAUGCUAUUUGAAAACUUUAGUAAAGCAACGGUGAUGUUCAAGGGCAUCUCCUUAAAAGAUGAACAUGUAUUAGGGAUUGAGGCUUGAGGGUUGAGGCCUGCAGCCCAAAUAAAGUAGGUGCUUAUGUAUCGGUAUUACCCAUGAGUGAGUUUCAUGGGCUAAAACAUCCAAAGCCCCAUGAAUAAUUAAAUAUCAUGUAUGUAUCAAAAGUGAAGUGAAGACAAAUAUUACACUCACUCAGAAAUACACAGAGCAAAAGACAGUGACCGAAAAAAUGCCGGCCAAAUUUCCUCUUUUCCUAGGUUCUCUCUCCCUCUCUCUCUCUCCAUAUCCAAUCCACGUUUUAUUCACAGUUUACAUACAUACACCCAAGAGACGAGAGAAGUCUUGGGAGACUGAGAACGCACGUAGCCAUGGAGAAGAGAAUAUUCAGCAGAGAAAGCAGAAGCGGCCCCAUGCUAACCAUGCAGCACAACAAGCAGCGGCAGCCACUUAUGCUAGAGGUCCAACGUCGUAACAAAACCCAGCAAGUAGCCGACCUCACUGACUUCAUGAACGACAUGUUUUUUGGCACCGUAAACGCCGAGUCCAAGUCCUAUAACUUGACCGGAGACGACGUAGACGACGUAAAAUACGAGGACGACGGCGACAGCCCAAGACCCACAUCCGCCACUACUACUAACAGCAAAAUGACUCAGGAAUGGCUAGAAGAGGCCCGGCGCAUUGUGGCCUCGUCCCCAACUCGGUGUGAAUCGCCCUCUCGACUCGCUGCUGGCUCACCGCGCUUUGCAGCUCCCCCGCAGGCGCCAAGAUUGUCAUUUUCUUCCGCCCUUGAUCGCCGGGACGCACUCUCUAGGUCCGCCAGAAGGUAUAAUAACAUGCCCAAUUCAAUUAACUAAUUUGUAUUUGAUUUAAUCAAAUGUCAAAUCCCGAAAUUACCCAUCGUACAGGCACCGAGCGGCGGAGAGUUUUAGUGGCGAGAUCCUAUCCAAGUCAGCCAACAAGCACACCAGAAACAAAUCUGACGUGCUGUUGUUGGAGGGGCCUACUUCGCCUGCAUCGCCAGUGGAAUCAUCGCCUGCAUCGGCGGUCCACAAAUGGUUUUCCAACAUCCUCAAGCCCAACUCCAAUCCCUCUCUGGCCCAGCAGCCCAAUCCCGAGCCCAAGGCCCAAACUGGCUCUCCCGGCCAGCCUGUCAACCGUAGGUCACGGUUCCAAAAUGACCCCUCCUCGCCUCGCCCACAAGGGAUUCCGAUCCCUUCUCGGCGGACUUUCCAAAGCCCGACGCUUUUGCCUGAUGCCAAGCCGCUGUCUCCCCCCAAAAACCUUGUCCCGUCAGCCCAUCGUCGGUCCAUAUCGUCGACCACUUGCUCCAAUGGGAAGGGUGUGCCAAAGCCCAGUGUAAUUGGGUGGCCCAAAGAUGAAGCCCAAGUCCAAACCCAAAACCAAGACCUUGAUCUUAAUAGGUUUCUCAAAGAGCAAAGGACUAAGGUUGAGAAAGUCGUGGAUGGUCAAGUUAAUGCCAAGGCUAAAAUAGUACUUUCUGACCCCUCCAAUAGUAAGUAUGCCUUAUCAUAUUCUUGGACAUUAGUGAACCGCAUAAUGGGACAUGUGAUGUGUUAAUUAUCAAUAAUUGAUGUAAUAAGUGAAUCUCACUUGUGACGCGCAUAAAAUGGUUCACUAGGGUUUAGUUCACAAAUUGAUUAUCACAAUUCUUUAUAAAACAAGUAAUGUGUAAGCCAUAUUCUAUUGGAAAUGUAGGCUCAAGUACAAUGGCAGCAGCAAUAUGUUAUGCAUGGUUACUUGAGAACAGGGCGAGGAAGGAAAAUAAGAGCAAAGGGAAUGGGGAGGAGGAGUAUGUGGUGGUUCCUGUGAUGAAUGUGAAGAGAGGGAGCAUGUGGAAGCAAAGAGAGGCUGCUUGGCUAUUUCACCAUGUUGGCCUUGAUGCCACUUCAUUGCUCUUUGCUGAUGAGGUACUUCAAAUCCCAUAUGCUUUCUCUGCAAUGCUAUAGUUGGUAACAAAUAUUUUGCAUAGUAUUUUGGGGUUUCUGUCUAUAUUUUAUCCUCCUUUGGCAUUGUAGCCAAAUGCUAUAAGUUGGUUGGUUUUGUUGAUGCAAUCUGGUGUUAGGUGGACUUGGAGAGUCUCAUGAUGGCUGGGAAAUUAAACAUCCUUGUCAUCGGGCAAGACAUUUUGACGAAUAAUGGGGAGGUAAUUGGUGCAGAUAUGCAGUAAAUUUUCAAAGUACAAGAACAGUUAUAACAAGUAUGCAUAGACAUAACUUAGCUGAUUGAAGUGUGUUGUUUACCUGUCUUUUAUAGGUUGGAUCACAGUGCACCAUUCUUACAGAUAAUUACUGUGAAGAUGCUUAUGAUCUACUUGAAAACCCUUUGCUCAAGAAACUUUUGGUAAAUCACAUAACUCUUUCAGGAAAAGAAAAAAAGAAGCAGCAUUUUUUUUUUCCUUGUUUGAUUAGGAUUUUGAGUGAUUUCCUGUGAUGCAGCUUGCAGGUAUAUUGUUAGACACUCAAAAUUUGAAAGCAUCUCCUCAAUUGUCUAUGACAAGAGAUGCAGAGGCAGUCCAGUUGCUAUUAGUUGGCUUACCAUCCAAUUACAGGAAUUCCCUUUUCGAUCAACGUAUGUGCUUCUAUUUUAGUUGGCUUAUAUACGUCUAGUAAAUUGUAACAAUCCAUUUUUUUUGGGUUCUCUAUCAGUGACACAAGAUCAAAGAGACAAUUCCUUUCUUGAAGCUUUGCGGCAAAGUUAUGGGAAGCCUCCUAAUGAAAGUAGGUUACUAUGCAUGAAAAAUGAGCAUUGUCAUUGAAACCCUUUGGUUGUUGUUCUAUUGCUUUGUUGGCUUUUAGAACCAUGAAAGUUGUUUUUAAUGACUUUCUCAAUGGUUUCACAUUAGGGUUAUGAUCCUUGACAGCCUUUAACACUUGUUGUGAUGAUUUCAGGUGGUGGUGAUAACAGAGAACAUAAUGAGCAGAAGGUUUCAGAAAGGAAAUCAACCUCUAUUUCUCGCCACGAAGCCAUCAUCCAAAAGCCAGACAAGAAUUCUAAUGAUGCAAGAAAUGCAAAAAAGGCUUCACCAAAAUCAGGUUAGACUGCACUAUAUUCCCUACGGCUUUUUACACAUUCACUUAUUCAUUACUCUUGUAAAAGUUUUAAACUCUUACUUUUCCCUUGAUGCCUAAAGCUUUGACAUCUUUUCCCUUGUAGCUAAACCAAGUUCUGCAGCAGUCCAAGCCCCUUCACCUGAUGCCUCCCGCGGAAAGAAUAAGUUCUUCCUGGCAAAGUGGUUUGGUUUUAAAUGAGGACAAAAAUCUGUGGCAUUUUGUUCAUUGUAAAUUCAUAUAGGACAACUUAAAUUUGAUAACAUGUUAGAAGAAAAAACUGAAACCGUCUUUAAGAUAUCUGCCAGUUUCAUCAGACGGGCGAGAUUGGUUCGGGUAAACUAUUUCUGUUUGUGCUUGGAAGAGGAAAGAUUUGAAACUACGACACAUAAUUUAGUAAGAAGAGGGAAUGUAAAAUGCCUUUGUGGCGUAUUGUAUUAUUACUUUUGUCUCGGACAAUAAUGGUUCAAGUUGCAAAAAGUUUUAGCUUUUGCUUAUAUGACAGUGUUUUUGAGAUGUCAUUGUUGUUCUUGUACAUGAUGAUGAUGCUGACAUGCAUUUUGAGAUCUUAUUUUCUACGACCAAAUUUCUUUGUUUGUGUCCCUUCACAAGAACUGUCUGCCUGCUGUAAAUGUGUGGUAAAAGUGGAUGCUGAUGUUGAGUUCAAUCCCAUACUGUCAUCUAAAAAUCUCCAGGUAAAAGCAAAAAUUUAUUUGCUGUCAUUCUUGGUUUGUGAUAAUGCCAUUUGAAAGUUUUGAAUAUGCUCCUUCAUAUGCUAAUCCAAAGCAAUGAAAUGAUAAGCUCUUGGAUAAAAAGCAGAAAAUUCAUCAUGAACUGCAACAGAAGGACCUGAGUUGGCAGUCAAAUUGGAAUAACCUGAAUAGUUGAAGCCAUCCAAUCAAAUCUUUUUCCAAAAGCGGAAAGAAAGUUUUUGCCUUUCAACCUUAUUUUUCCUCUUCAAUCUAAUUUUCCAUUUUUUCCCCUUUCAUAUUUGAGGUCAAAAAGCAUGAAAAGUAAGGACACAGAAAAAUGAAAAUUUAUGUCCUAAAGACUGAAACUCGGUAAACUUCAGAGUAGUAAAGUGAAAAUUAUCCAAUUGUAUAUUCAUAUGUGGUGCAAAUAGUCUUGCAUUAGUGAUUCAAUCAUCAUCAACAACUCCUCCUCUCUGUCACAUGUAACAACAUUUUAUGCCAGAUACAAACAUUCAGUACCCUUUGAACAUAUUGGUCUAUAUUUCUUUUAUAUAAAACUUUGGAGACAUCACAUACAUGUUGGUAGGAAAAGAAAAAAAAAAAGAAGAGUUUGAAAUAUUGCUCAAUUAUCAAGAUCAGAUCAAGAAAGAGGAAAGAGAAUUUGUAUAAAAAUAGGUGGAGAUGCCUCUAGAUGGGGAAUUAUUGGGCAUGUAAGUGAUACCAUCUGUCUUGUCCAAUUGUGCCCAUUUGUUCAACCCCAGCUGUAACUAACUUCUUCCAUCCAACCCCUCUCUUGGGCCCCACCUCUUCCAUUCUCAAUCCAAACCUCUCACUCACAAAUCCAAUCUGCAUCUACAUCAUUCCAUGCUGUCCCCAUUCCUUGCUCGGGCCCCAUUUCAUUUGCCAGCCUCAUUCUUCUGCUGCUGAUGAUGAUGAUGAAACUACCAGUCUACCAUAUUUGAUAUGUUGUUUCUCAUUCAACCUUCCAGGCAUAGAGAAACAAGCAAAACUCAGAUGAUCCACUUGCAUUAAGCCCUUCUAUUGACCCUAAACUGGUCUGGGAUGACAAUGGAGUGGAUGACAGGGAAGAAAAUGGUGGUGAGGAGGAUGAUGACCUGGACAGUGGUGAGAGAGAUGUACUGGAAGGCAAAACUGGCUUGAAAAUAAACAAUGCAUGCCUCAAACCAGGACUAAAAAGCCAGUCAUGGACAUCCCAAUAAACCUCAAUUCUCAACUUGUUGAUAUGAAUGGACUCAUUACCUCUGAAUUUCCACUGAAGGUGUUUAACAUGAACCACCAAAUGCCCAUCUACCCUAAUCUCCAAUUCUGGCUCAACCCCAUUUAAUGAAUUGCCAUUGCUGAUGCUCCCAGCUCUGUUCUUGCAUUCAAUUGCAAUUUCAUGAAGCCUGCCUCUCUCAUAAAACUUGGCUUUUGUGGAGAACUUUUUCUUGCCAAAGAUGUGUUCUUUUUUAGAAACCAAAGUGGGAUCAAUCAGAGCAGGCCUGUACCCUGUCUUCCUAUAUGCAUCUUUCUUCAGAUCACCAAGAAGCAACACAACCUCUUCAUCACAAACAACUGCUACAUAAUACUCUGACUUGGGCUCUGUCCCACCAUUGAAUUUUGCAGACUUGAGGUCCCAGAAGAUGUCAACUGCUUUGCCAUCAACUACAAAGCGCUUGGAGCCUUGUUUUCUCCAAAAGUACCAUGGCUUGAGCUCAACUUUGCAGGUCUGCUGGUUUUCUCCAUCUGGGCCUUCAAGAGAUACAGAUAGGCCAUGGAGCAACAAGUUCUUGCACCAUGUGAUUGUGAUCAAGCGGCACUGAUCAGCAAUCUUGGCUCUGUACACAGACAUGUAAACACUGUGGCCUGACCUAGUUACAGCUGAAGCAUCAUCGCUCAGCUUCUCACUUGAUGAAAAGCAAGCAGGGAUGCCAAUAUGGUCUUGCAUACUUUUGUUAGUGAUCAAAAACUAGUUAAUCGGCAAAACCCAGUUUGCAAAAACAAUAUCUGCAAGAUGAGGAACAAAUUGGAGAGAAGUUGGAUUGUGAAGGGGGAAUUUUUAACAUGGGGAGAGUGAGAGAUCUUAGUCACAAGAUGUGUUGGGUCACCAGAUGCUGCCAGAGGUGUGUUUGGAAGCAUUAAUGGAAUUAAAAAUUGAUUUCCAAACUGGCGGAUAGACUGGCAUUGAGUGAGAGUGAGUGUAGAACCACCCUUUUAUAUUCAAUUAUAUCUGCACCACUGCUAACCUCUCUUACCUGGAUUCUAUUUUAUUUGUUUGUUAAACUUUUUUUUUCCUCCUUUGCUUCACUUUAUUUUAUUUUUAUCACAUAAUACUUUUUUUAAUAUCCCUUUUAACAAGGACAACUUGAUUGAAUCCGAGGUGGUUUUGCUUCUGCUACACUUUAAAAUACUUAUACAAGGCGGCCAUUUGUUCACCAGAUUUGUUCAAAAGAUGACCAGACCAGUCAAAAACUAUAAGUCUAUAAUAAACGUGAAGGUGGAAGAGUUUGGUGUUGGGUUUGGUUUUCCAAUGUGGGUUUUGUUGACUGUUUAUUAUUUGAAUAUCAUGUUCAUAAAGUUUUCUAUGUGGGAGAUGUAACUUUUCAACUUUAUGUUCAAAGAUGCGUGGGAGAGGAAUCUAGGGGGAGGCGACAAUUGCUGAGAAGGGGAAAAAAAAAAGUCUUGAGGAAUCUAUUGUUUGUAGCUGUUGCAGAUCUGGUCCAGUCCCUCCUUGUAAGGCAGCACCAUAGGUGCUCACUAUUGGUUGCAGAAUGCUUGAUAAUAUUCCUCUAUCUCUUUAAUUGAGAAAUAAGAUGAAAUAAAACGUAGUAGUUAUGUGGGGCAAGAAUUUAGACGGUGUGAUUAGGUAAUACUUUAUACUUCUUUGAAUUAAUCUAAUUUAUAGUUAUAGAGAUUCAAAUUUGAGUGCUAGGAUACGAGUUUAUUUUCAUACCAACUGACCUAAUCCACAUCUUCUAAUUUUCCCUUUCCUAGACAAUCAAUAUUUGUUAUACGGAUCAAUAUUUGUUGUCAGUAUGAGAUACAAAAUAAUGGAAUGAAAGAAAUGGAUAUAAGAUGAAACAUUACAAUUAACUUUUGAUUUGGUAUGUUAAUGAAAAGGUCCUUGUUAGGGGCAAAGUCUAGUAUUGGGCCAAACCAAAUUGUUAGAGACAAAUUUUAUUCAAGCAUCUGGCCCAAAUGGGAGCCCUAAUGCAUUGAAGAAAUUGAGGUCAUUUUCGUCCAUCUAUCCUAAGCAUAAACCCCAAUUCCCAAACGAUCGCGGGGUUUUGGUAUUGUCACUGAGGAAGACCUGGAACUCACCGAUCCUCUCUUUCCGUUUGGUUCCCUAGAAACCCAAAAGAAAAUUCACUAUAUUUUCUUGUUGCCCCACUUCAUUUUCUCAGUAACCAAACAGAACAUUUGAUUGCAGACUCGCUUUGUAGAAAUGCAAUCUUUAAGUGCGAGCAUCCGUUUGGUCCAAAAGCAAAGAAUCGACAGCUCAAAAAUUGCUCAUUUCAGAUCAAUUGGAGCUUACCCAUUAACCAGUGGUUCUGGGUUCAGCUCGUUGGCUUCGGAUGGCUUGGCCUCUGCCAAGAUAUUUGAGAGUUCAUUGGGGUUUGCGUCUUCCAAAGGUUCCUUAUUUCAGUCUCUUUCCAAGUUCCCUUAUCGAUCUUCGGCCUCAUUCGUAUGUUUCGACUCGUUAUACUCUCUCUGAUAGUAUUUUAAACAUGCUCAUUAGUUCUUUACUUUAAAGAAUAUACUUUGAACAUGUUUGUAGCUGCGAAUUUUAGUUUGAAUAUGUUUAUACUUGUGAAAUUUACUUUGAAUGUGUAUGUAAUUGUGACUUUAGCCCUUUAGAAAAAAUAUAUUCUUUGUUUUCUGUUGAACAUUUUUAUAGCUGGCGACAUUUGGAUAGAGCAUUUUAUAUAAAUGAAUGGUUUGCUGUUGAUUCAGUUGAAAAAAGAAGUUGUUUUUUAAUGGUACUUGAUGCCUUGAAGCAAUUGAAGCUGAGAGGUCAUUCUGCAUUUUACUUUUCAUAAUUUGGAAUGUCAAUUGGCAGUGUUCACCAAGGUCUUAAGUCUUAACCUUCUUAUGUUAUAUAGUGUAGAAUUCAUCUGAAGAGCAAUUCUUUGUCUCUCUUUCCAAAUAUAGACACUUUUAUGACACUUGUAGCAUUAUUCUACCAGACUACAAGGGGCUUUCAAACUGAGACAUCAACAUCCUCGAGUAAGUCCAUGUUAUUCAAGAGUCCUCGACCAGGAUUACUUCCACUGGAGACAGUUUCACCUCCUUUCCCCAGCAGGUGCAUUACAACAGGGGUAAAUCCUGUUGAAUCGGCUACUCAAGAUUCAACGAUGUCUGGGUCUGACGUAGCUCCCCGCAUCAAAUUCAAGAGGCUUGAUAAAACUGCCAAGCACAUAAUGCAGGUAUGCAUCUAUCUGUUGGUAUUCAUGACAAGAAAUAGUGUAUGUUGUCUUCCUCUUAUUAUAUUUGUUGAUUUUGUAUUUCACAGAUUCUAGACAAGGAAGCUCUAGAGGAAGUGAGGGUGCAGAGAGAAAUACCGGAAAUAAAGCCUGGUUAUAUUGUGCAACUCAGAGUGGUAUGAUGUGUUCUCAUUUAGAAGAUGGUGUUAUAAUGUUCUUUGUGUUACGGAGGGAAUUUUAGGAUAUUAAGUCUAUAUAUUCUUUCUCAAUAAUUCUCCAUAUGUAAACAGGAAGUACCCGACAAUAAGCGACGUGUUUCAAUCUUGAAAGGCACUGUGAUAGCAAGACGCAAUGCUGGUCUGAACACUACAAUUAGAAUCAGGAGGCUCAUGUCUGGGGUUGGGGUUGAAUCUCUCCUUCCACUGUAAGAAGUUCUGUUCAUUUCUCAUAAUUAUAUAUGGCCGUAGUCUGUAUUAUCUUUGACUCGCUGCUUUAAGUUGGAAAGAAAACCAUCUUUAGCUGGAUGCCCAGGAAGCAGGGUGUAUUAAAUUGUUACCCUAAUAGGUUGUUAAUUCUCAACUCUAAUUAUGUGGGUAUUUUGUACAACAUUGUACGUACAGUUUUCACUAAAUUUGUUGAAAAUUAUUCUCUUUUACACUCUUUGUAGAUUUGGCUCUAAUAAAGAAUAGUUAUUUGUUGAUUGUGUAAUAAAAUGGUUAUUGAAAAUGUUGGAGUGUAGAAAGUUACAGAAUGAUAUGAUUAAAAUAAUGUAUCAGUUACUUAGGAUUAUUUUCCCACUGAUGAAUGUACUCUAAAGCCAAGAACUAAUCAUGUUCAGUAAUAGGUGCAAUUUUUCAAAACAGAUUCUUUGAGUUCUAUCUUCUGAGAAACAGCAAACACUGCUAAUCACAAGUUCUGGUGUUCAUGCCUGUGACAUUGAUAUGCGAAAACUUCAACUGAAAUUCUAGAUUUUAAGCUUUUUAUCACUUAAAUUACUAUUUUGAGGUGAAACAGAUGAUUACUUGGUAUGAAAACUGAUUUCCGAAUUUUUCUUUUUUUUGGGGUGGUGUCCUCAUAUCUGUGAGGUUUGCCGGUUCUUAUCAUUUGUUUCAUGUAAGCAUAUAAUGCUACUCUCUACACAUGACCAAAGAAGCGGAUAAUGUAUGGCAGGUAUUCCCCUAACAUAAAGGAGAUAAAGGUGCUGGACAAGAAGAGAGUGCGGAGGGCCAAGCUGUACUAUAUCCGGGACAAAAUGAAUGCACUUAAGAAGUAAUAGUAGUAAUAUAUAUGGCUGGCUAGUGAGAUAAAAAUUAUGGUUCCCUGACAAAGAUGGAGUCCAUGCAUGACUUAGUUCAGAAAUCUAGCAAAAUUUUGGUGAUUUCUUUUCCUGAAUGUUUGCUUUCUUUGAUCAUGUUAUUAGUUUGUGAGUCUUCAGCAAGUCUUUGAGAAUCUGAGAUGCCUGGUAGAUGUUAGGGUUCAACUGAAUACCGGGAAAUUUACUGGAAUUGCUACAUUACGAUGUUAAAAUUAUGCACUCAGGUUGAAGAAUGCUAUCAAGUGGCAUAAAUGUGAUUGUUACUCAAGUAUACUAUUUUCCUCAACACAAACCCUAUUAUUUCCUCGCACAUGUUUGGAUUAUAUGUUGUCCAGAAUUCUGGGUUUGCACACAAUAAGUCUGGCCAUGGAAGAUUAAAUGUGCCAGCAGUGUAAUAUUAUUUUACUUUGCAUAAUUGCAUUAUGUUUUAUAAUUAAUGAAUAAUAUUAUGGCAGACAGUGGUUGGUUUGGUUGUGGAUGUAAAACUAAAAUGCUUUCCAUAAUGGACAGCAGCAUCAAGCCACCAAGCACCAACCUUUCUGAAAUAGCAAAUACCAAUAAUCUUUUCUUUUUUUUGUUUCUCUUUUCUGUUUUCUUACAAUCUGGUUGAUGGUUCAAGUAAAAAUAUGUCAAGUUGUCAACUACUGCAGGAGUUCUCCUGGGGAGGUAUGCUAUAUUAAUAUAUUUAAUAACACUUUUAAGAGUUUAUUAUUCUAAUUCCUUCCUUGGUCAAACUGUGCAUGUUUUCUUUAUGUAUUUUCUUACAAUUAUGGAUAAGAAUAUAUACUGCUGUUGCAUGACACGUCUCUAAAACUUAGUGCCAAUUUCGUCGAGAAACACUUCUAUGAAAUUGGGAUAUUAUUAUUUUGCUAUUCAAAUUUUUAGAUAUCAUAGUAUUAUUAAUGAGGAAUAUUAAAAUAGUGCUAUUUCCGUUGCAAUUAAGUUUUUCUCCUAUUUAGUCAUGCCUGCCUGCGACAUCCCAGAACUAGUAAAAGCUUAUUUCAUGGUGAAAUUAGAAAGAAAAUAAAAUGUUGCUGGUUAAAAGAUUUUUCAUGAAAAUUAUUUUAUAAUCUAACAUGACUAGAAUUUUUAAUAAAUUAUAGUAUAUUAAUUGCCCACUUAAAUAUCGUGGAAUAAAAGUUCAACAACCCCAAAUAGUAAUCUAUCCAGAUGUAUCACAUCAUUAUGAAUGGUGGAUCCUUUUUGGUGUUGACUCACAACAAUAGACUGGAUUAAUAAUUACAUAUUUAGGUUCUUUAUUUGUAAACUAGCCCCUUGACACAUGCUCACGCAUGUGCUAAUUGGUUUUUUUAUUUUUUAUUUUUUUUUUAUUUUUAGAAUUAAUAAAAGAUAACAGGGUAGUUAUGUUCCAUAAAAGUAGGACCUAUUAUCUUAUUUUGUUUUUAAUUUUAAUUUUUUUAAUAUUAAAAAAUGUGAAUUUACCAUAUUAUCCUCAUUUAAUUAAUAAUUUCAAUUCUUAAUGUUUGAAUUAACAAAGGGCAUUUUCUAGUAUUUUGAAUGUUUCACCAUUCUCUGCCUUUUGCUUUAUAUAUAUAGAUUACAAAUAUUAUAUCUACAUAUAUGUAUAUAUGCAAAAAUAAAAAAAUAAAAAAAAUAAAAAAAUUUGUACAUAUUUCAACUUUGGAUUUGUGUGGCUGAUAGAAUGAUAUUUAUUUAUUUAUUUAUUGGUAUAAGGGGCGGGCUAACUUUCUUGAUCAACUUAUCUACAUGAACGAUAAAAAUAAUAAUUUUUUGAAUAUAUAUAUAUAUAUAUAAUUUCAUUUUAUUAAGGAAAUAGACAUAUUGUAUACGUCAUUUAAAAUUAAAAAUUGAAGGAAUAUAAAGUGCUUUGCUUAUAAAAGAGGUUUUAUAGUAAGCUUACAAAAUACUACAUAAAAGAAAAAAAGUACACAUAUUUUAUGUUAAUGAAACUAAAUAUUAACCCAAAAAAAAAUUCUAUCAGUAGAAUUUAGAAUUUAAUUAUUGGUAGGAAAAUUGUAGAAUCCGAUCAUAUUCUAAAGUUCUUCAGCCGUUGGAUCGUGAUUAGGAAGAAUCUACGUUGGAAGAUCCAAAGAUCCCUAAUAGCAAUUUAAGGUGCGAAAGUAAGCUGAAGAAACGCGCGUAGCACAUUACUCUCACAUGUCCCCAAAGCCGACCUUUUAAACCCAAAAUUCAGAAGAAGAAAAAAUAAUCAAAAUUAAAUAAAUAAAUUUAAAGCCGAGAGAGACGACGCUCGGUUGUUUGUUGGUUCAUUUGCUGUGUCUCUGCCAAUCCAACGGCUUCUCUCUCCUCCUUUCUCACUCCGCUAACGCACGCUUCUCUGUCUUCUUCUUCUUCUUCUUCUUCAUACGUGAAACCUCCGACUUGGGGUUCCUUUUUCGCGGGUUUGAAUUUGGGUCGCUUCAGUAUUUGAUUCAGCCCCUAACGACGAAAUUGAGGUUUCGGGUCGAUCCGAAUACGAUCAUUUUGCGUUUCUGAGUUCGAUUUGAUUGGAAGACGAACGAGUUCUCGAGAAUGCCACAGGAUUUGUCGUCGGACCAAGACACGGACGAUGCUGAUGCCGAGUUCGUGGAGGUUGAUCCCACUGGUCGAUACGGUCGGGUCAGUAGUCUUUACUUAAAUUACUCUCCUUUUUUCUUUUUCCAUUUAUUUCCUUCUUUUUAUUUGUUUGGUAUGGUGUUCAUUGAUUUGAUUUAGCUGCUUCACUUCUCAUUUGUUUGGAAAUUACUAAAUGCUCUCAAGUCUUAAGCUUUUGUUCAUCAAGUUGUCAUUUGGGUUGAUUUGUUGGUUCUGUGUAUCAGUAAUCAAUUCUCUUUGUUUUUGGUCAUUUGCAGUAUAAAGAGAUUCUAGGAAAAGGGGCUUUCAAGAAAGUGUAUCCUUUCCCUCUUCUUUUUUAUUUUUCAGUUGUUUUAGAUUUUUAGUUGGAUGCUAAAUGCUGUUUGAACCAUUGAUAGUUAAUAUUCUGUUGAGGUCCAAGUGUGUUGUAGAUCUUUUUUGUGUGUCCUUGAUCGAUAUAUGGAAACUUAGAUAUCGAGCAUUUGAUGAAUUGGAAGGAAUAGAAGUAGCUUGGAAUCAGGUUAAAGUGGCAGAUCUAUUACGCAACUCUGAAGAUUUAGAGCGGCUUUAUUCAGAAGUUCAUUUGCUUAAGACUUUAAAGCACAAGAACAUAAUUAAGUUUUACAAUUCGUGGGUCGAUGCCAAGCAUGAGAAUAUCAACUUUAUUACGGAGAUCUUCACUUCAGGAACAUUGCGGCAGUGAGUUUUCAGUGAUGUAUUGUCUGUAACAUUCAAUAUUUCUAAUUUAUUUAUGCUUUUGUUUAGUGUUUUAGUGUCGAUUAUAAUGUAGAUACCGGAGAAAGCAUAAGCAUGUUGAUUUGAGGGCGUUGAAGAAAUGGUCUAGGCAGAUUUUAGAAGGCCUUUGGUAUCUUCAUAAUCACGACCCCCCUGUUAUCCAUCGAGAUUUGAAGUGUGACAACAUUUUUGUCAAUGGGAACCAAGGUGAGGUGAAAAUUGGUGACUUAGGACUGGCUGCUAUUCUUCGCCAGGCUCGCUCAGCACAUAGUGUUAUCGGUGAGGAUUUAUAAAUAAAAUUGUCAUCUAUGUUUUCCUUCUGCAAUGGUGCUAGUGCAGAAUAUUUGAAUUCAGAGAUGACAAUGUAAUUGUUUCUGUCACUUUAGGUACUCCGGAGUUUAUGGCGCCAGAGCUUUAUGAAGAGGAAUACAAUGAGCUAGUAGACAUUUAUGCCUUUGGCAUGUGCUUGUUAGAAUUGGUGACCUUUGAGUAUCCAUAUGUUGAAUGUACCAAUGCUGCCCAAAUAUUCAAGAAAGUGACAUCAGUAAGGGCUUCAUGACCAUUGCCCCGUUUAAAUUGAUACACAGUUUCUAUUGUUCCGUUAAAUUUGUUGUUGGUUUGUUUUUGCUAUCAUAAUUGAGAGCAUUUCUCGUCCUUGAAACUUAUAUCAUUUUGAAAGUUUCAACAUGUGCAAUCACCGGAUCUGUCAAAGUCUCAAUUGUUGUAGAUAAUGUAAUUUUUCCAUAUGUGAUGCAUCAUUCAUCUCUUUUGAUUGUGAUGAAUGAUUCGUCUCUUUUGAUUUUGUGAUGCAUGGUUCAGUUGUUUUGCUAGUCUCACUAGACCUACUAUUUGGCUUAAAUUGUAAUGGAUUUUGAAGCGCUGGGAUUGAAAAUUCAUUCAGCAUUGUGAAUUUCUAUAUAUUUAAAAUGUUGGGGUAGUUUUAUACAUGUACGUUCAGUCUGCAAAUUUUUCUACACUAGUGUGUCAAAUUUCAGUUGUUGAAAAUGUAUGUAAUUUCCCAUUUGGCUUUUUGAUUUGAGUUAAUGCUUGAAAUUCUAGGGAUAAUUAUACAAACAACCCUGAAAGGUUGCAAUUAUAGGAAUUCGAACUCAACAUUGCUUAUUCUGGGACCAGCAUAAGUUUUGUUAGUUUGCCACUGUAAGUUGUUAGGAUUGUGGCCAACGCUUAUUUUAUAUUCUAACAUGGUCCUUGUAUCAUUUCCUUUUCCGUUUGGGUAGGGAAUAAAGCCAGCAUCAUUGGCAAAAGUGACAGAUCCUGGAGUUAAAGCAUUUAUAGAAAAGUGCAUUACGAAAGUCUCUGAUCGUUUGUCUGCCAAGGAACUUCUAAUGCAUCCUUUUCUCCAAUCUGAUCAAGAUCGUGAAUGUAGUUCUCUACGACCUGAAACUCAUUAUUCAGGUAAGCAAGUUGUUUCUCUAGAGCUCAAAGGCUUUUUGUCUUAUUCUCCUCACAUUGUGACAUGUUAGAUGCAGAAGGCAGUUCUGAUCAGAUUGAUAUUGGAACAAAGGAUAUGGACCCUUCUCCUGAGACAAAUAAAGACUUCACUGUGCAAGGCCAGAGGAAAGACGACACAAUAUUUCUGAAACUACGAAUAGCAGAUUCGACAGGUUACCUUUUCUUUCUUUUCCAGUUUAUUUAAUUUUCAGUCAAAGAAGUAUUGUUUAAUUCCACUUCCUGCUCUUAAAUUGAGAUAUUUUCCACCUGGCCCCAGGUCACUUUCGAAAUAUCCACUUCCCAUUUGACAUUGGGGCAGAUACUGCAAUUGCUGUUGCUAGUGAAAUGGUUCAAGAGUUGGACCUAACAGAUCAAGAUGUCACAACAAUUGCUGAAAUUAUUGACGCUGAAAUCCAAUCCCACAUUCCAGAUUGGACAUCCAGUGAAAUUUCGGGAGAUAAUAUUGAUGGUGAGGUCUCAACUCCAUAUAGCCCAGUUUCUGAGUCUAAGGAUGAUCCUUCUGCCUUGGUACAUGAGGCCAUCCUUUCUAGUAAUCUUGCAUUAGAAAGACUGCCUUCAGGUCGCAAGUACUGGUCUGACUCACCCAAGGAAGGUAGUGGAAAUUCUCCAGGGAAGCAUGGGUUUUCUAACUUGCAUUCUCCAGCAGAUUCGGUCAUUGCAGGAGGUACUGAAGACAAUGAAAAUUCUACUGGUAGCCAUAGAGAGGAAGACGACCCAAACGGCAGAGAUGCCUCUGAUUCACCAAAUGGUGGUACUGAGGAUGAUGAAAAAUCUCCUGGUAGCCUUAGAGAGGAAGAUGAUCCAACUUGUGCUGGUGCCUCUGAUUCACCAAAUGGUGGUGGUCAUGGUGCAGCUACUGAUCUACAUGUUAUUAAUGGAACUCAUCCAUUUGAAUCAGAAGAAGUCAAGAUCAUUGCGGAGAAACUUGAGAAUCUAUUGGUAGAACAGAAAAAGGAGUUAGACGAGCUCAAGAGGAAGCAUGAAUUAGCAAUAUCAGAUGUAUUGAAGGAACUACCCCCGGUUUUCUGUCAAAAGGUUUUAGAUAUAUGUAAGAUAAAAAUUCCGGACUACAAAAUGCUUUAUGAGGCAGACUGCUAAACCAAGCAAUUUGCAAAUUCAGCUUUUCUUGGCCCUGUCAUGUCUCCAAUUCCAGUGCUUGAUAUAUAGAUUAUUCACUAGUUUUGCGGGUGACAGAUAAUAGAAAUCACAGAGAUGUUUUAUACUUAGGUAAAGUUGGGGAGCAUGAACUAGUAGCUGUAUUUUAUGCAGCUGGAUGGAUAUUGAGAGAGAUUUGUAAUAUAGAUGCUGCAAGUCAUAGCCUGGAGGACAGUCAUGCUUGUCAUCUAGAUCAGCUUUUAGAGUGACCCCGGAGGCCCUGAGGAUCCGGUACAUGAACUCCCACGAAUGAUUUGUUUCUGCCUAGGUAAGACAUUGGUCUGGCGAGUUGAAAUGAUGCCUAAAGAUCAACGUGCUACCUACUUAUGCUGAAUACGGGGCAAAAUAUGGAGUUUAUACCUGUACAGAUAAUUCUUUUACUUUCUUGCUUCGGAGCACAUCAGUGUAUGUUGAGCAAAUGUGAAAAUUAAUUAUAAAUUCUUUUUUGUUGGUUUUACUUAUUUGUUCUCUUGAAAAGGGACGAUUAACUGGUGGUUAAGUUAUUGUUGUGGCAUGCUUGGGUUUAUUGUUGCAUUGGAUAAUAAUCACAACAUGACAUUGAUAAUUGAACCUAGUUUUACUGCGUUCCAAAUUGUUUUCACCAACCAAAUUUGAGGUACUUUGCUCAUGAAAACAUUUUUGUAUGGUAGAUGUUGACUCCACGGUGUUUCACAAAAAUUAAGGUAUUUGAAUCAAUUACGUGUCACAAAAUGAGUCUGGCUUUCUGGUUUGCCACCAUCAACACAAAUCACAAUCAGUCGAUUUCAUACUUUUGAGCCACAACCAACCAGCUUCAUGCUUAAGCUCUCGGAGAUCUAGAGCCUCAAAUGAGUUUAAGUGCUCCCAAUUGGGUUCUAUAACUCUCUGGACUAGACCGACUCUCACUAACAACCAAAAAUAGCUCUCCACUGAAUCCUGAAAACCAUUUGAAAUUUCAAUUCAAGCAUUACUUGAGCUACAAGUUCUUUAUAAUUAACAAAAGACUUAAAUUCUUUCCAUGAGUAAAACUCGAUAAGUGUCAGAAUCAAUAAGUGCUUUACUACUGGAGUCAGAAAUAGUUUUUUCGAAGUUCAGUAGACAUAAGUAGUAACGAUUUUGCACUCAUGGUUUAACUUUUGACACUUAAAUUCGAGUGUUUUUAUAACUUCUAUAUUCUAAAAAUGUGAUUUUUAUUUUAUUUUUUGUCAAAGUUAGGAAGGGGUAGAGAGAUUUUCUCAGAUCCACUACGAAAGUGUCAUGAGAAUUUGAAUUUAAGAUCACUAGUAUGCAAGUUAGGGCCUCUUCCAUUGGACUCAUUGACUAUGUGAUUAUGUGAGCGUAAAUGACUGCUAAAAUGGCUAAACUAAGUACAUGGAUAAGUUGUAACAUGUUAAUUGGGCCAAGAAUAGGUUGGUAAAACCCACAACCCUUUUGGUCCUAGAGGAAGGAGGGCUAUACACGUGUGAGAAUAUAACGCAGGUUGCACAUAAACUCUCAAAUUUCCACCUGUAACCGACGAAAAUAAUCCCUCCAAAACUGAGGCUGGGAAAUGGAUAGACCACCCAUAUGAGGCCCUGUUUUGUCUUCGAAAGGAUAACAUACAUCACUCCCCCUCUCACCACUCCCCCUCGUCAGUCCUCUCCUCCUCCUUCAUUAUCCCAAAACCCCAACACCCAAUCCCCAUCUCUAUCUUCUCCCUCUCCUUCUCUCUCUCUCUAAAGAUUCAAUCUUGAAUCUUCCAUGGCAAUUUCAACAGCAGCAGCAGCCUCAGCUUCCUCAAAGCUCACUUACCCAUAUGCCUCUCAGUCCUCUCAGCCCUCACCGGCCUCCUCUAUCUCCAUUAGACCCUCUUCCAAGCUAACCCAUCUCUCCUCUUCCUUCCUCAACCCCUCCACCAUCCUCCACCUCACGCCCACCACUACUCUCCCCCUCCACCACCACCACCACCGCAGUUUCACAGUCAAAGCUGCUCGAGGUAAGUUCGAGCGCAAGAAGCCCCAUGUCAACAUCGGCACAAUCGGCCACGUCGACCACGGCAAGACCACUCUCACUGCAGCUCUCACCAUGGCCUUGGCCUCCAUUGGAGGCAGCGCUUCCAAGAAGUACGACGAAAUCGACGCCGCCCCAGAAGAGCGCGCUCGUGGAAUCACCAUUAACACUGCCACAGUCGAGUACGAGACUGAGAAUCGGCACUACGCCCACGUUGACUGCCCCGGCCACGCCGAUUAUGUCAAGAACAUGAUCACUGGAGCUGCUCAGAUGGACGGUGCGAUUCUUGUGGUUUCUGGUGCUGAUGGGCCAAUGCCACAAACCAAAGAACACAUCUUGCUGGCCAAGCAAGUGGGUGUGCCUAACAUGGUUGUGUUCUUGAACAAACAAGACCAGGUUGAUGAUGAGGAGCUUCUGCAGCUUGUGGAAUUGGAGGUGCGUGAGUUACUUUCUUCUUAUGAGUUUCCUGGUGAUGAAGUUCCUAUUAUUUCUGGGUCUGCUUUGUUAGCUUUGGAGGCUUUGAUGGCCAAGCCUACUAUCACUCGUGGUGAGAAUGAAUGGGUUGACAAGAUUUAUGAACUUAUGGAUUCUGUUGAUAGCUAUAUUCCGAUUCCUCAGCGCCAGACUGAGUUGCCAUUUUUGUUAGCAAUUGAAGAUGUGUUUUCGAUUACCGGUCGUGGGACUGUGGCCACUGGCCGUGUUGAGAGGGGUACUAUUAAGGUUGGAGAUACAGUGGACAUUGUCGGUUUGAAGGACACAAGGAGCACCACUGUGACUGGUGUUGAAAUGUUUCAGAAGAUUCUUGAUGAUGCUAUGGCUGGUGACAAUGUGGGGUUGUUGCUUAGAGGGAUACAAAAGAUUGAUAUUCAGAGAGGGAUGGUUUUGGCUAAGCCCGGGACGAUUACCCCACAUACCAAGUUUGAAGCAAUUGUGUAUGUGUUGAAGAAGGAAGAGGGUGGCAGGCAUUCACCGUUUUUCUCAGGUUAUAGGCCACAGUUUUACAUGAGGACUACUGAUGUCACUGGAAAGGUGACUUCCAUAAUGAAUGAUAAGGAUGAAGAGUCCAAGAUGGUCAUGCCUGGCGACCGUGUCAAGAUUGUUGUCGAGCUGAUAGUUCCCGUGGCUUGUGAGCAAGGAAUGAGGUUUGCUAUCAGAGAAGGAGGGAAGACUGUUGGAGCUGGUGUUAUUCAAUCCAUAAUUGAGUGAUAGAAAGAAAGGCUUUCUUGGCAGUAAAUGCUCUUCACUCUUUUUUUUUGGUGGUGUCAAACUUGAACUCAUUUUGAUUUUAUUUAGUUUUGACAUUUUAAGCAAUUUCCACAGUCAAAUGUUAUAUAUUUUGUAGGUUCAUCACCAUGUGCUCCGCUCAUGUUUCUAGCCUAGUUGAAUGAUAUGCUUGUGAUGAUUCAAUGUGACUUUGGUUGAACCUAUUAUCAGAAACUUUUUCACGGGCAUAAAAAUGAGAUCGGGCACUGCCUGUCGAGGUGAAUUCUCCUUAAUGCUUCAUAUGAUUUGUUCAAAUUGAACCUGUGGAAUUUGCUUCUUUGCCAUGUUUUUGCCACUCGUUUCCUAGCUCUAGCUCUAAUUCUUGAAUUUGGUGAACUUGAGUGUUAUUAUUCAGCACGGAUACAAUUCUCUGGACGUGCUUUUUGUUUACACAAGGCAUUUCUUGUGUAAUCAAGAUAUUGAAACUUGCAUGUGACCCCUUUUUUUCUUUUUCUUUUUUUCUUUUUAAUGUGAGAGCUUUUUUAAUUUUUAAUAUUUGAUUCGGCAAACGGGAGCUAUUAUUGCGUGAAGAACAAUAAAUAAAAUAAAUUACAACUCCCAGUUUGGUAGCAAAAAAUGAAAAAGGAUUUGCACUCCAUAUUUGAUCCCAAUUCGGUCUGGUUAAUACUCCAACAAUCAGUGCAUCAACUGAUUUGGGCAUUUCCAACCCAAAUAUACCAACGCGAUAUAGCUAAUUAAUGUUGAAUAUUAAUACUACACCCUAAAUGAAGAACUUAUUCAGAUUCAUAUAAUAGUACGUUAAUUGAUUAUACCACGUGACGGUAUUCUCGUACCACACAAUUUGUGAAUAACUUUGGAAAGUAUGUUCACGACAUUGCCUGAAAAGUAGUCAACAAAAUUUCGGUAGUCAUGUAUAGAUAAAUAGAUAUUUUAUCCGCUAAGCCUUACUCAUUAUGGAAAGUCAGCCUUUGAAACAGGCUGUUGAUAUAAAUAGACAUAAGGAUAGAUUGUACACAAUGUAUACAUAUUUCCUCAAUUGUCCCCAUCCAAAGACAACUACUCUAUCUUACCUAAUAUAGAAACUAUAUGACUUCCUAAAACCAUUCCCACUGUGUAUACUGCAUGAUCUUGGUGACUAAGAUAAGAUCAGUCUUCCACUUUUUCCAGAAAAUUUUGUGCUCUGAAGAAUUCAUAGAUCCAAGAAUACGGUUGAUGUAAUCAACUGUUGCACGAAAGCCGCUCUCUGCCUUCGCUCUUCUUUAUCCUUUUCACAGCCUUCAUCUGGUGAAGAGGACUUAGCACUGCAAAAACAAAAUGUAUCAGCAACAGGGCAUCAACAGGCCUAUUCUCAUAAAGCAUGUAUUUUUUGCAUAACCCUCACCAAGAUAUAUUAUUUGACAUAUCACAUAUCUAAAGACCAGUCACUGCCAACAAAGCAAAAAUGGAGGGCAAUGCAAGAGUAAUAAAGGGAAUGAAUAACACAUAGAUGGUUCAUUCACAUUCCUGGUUUACCCGAUGGAGCACCAAUAACAAGUAACUUGACCCACUCAAUGGCAAACAUGGAGGUAAAACUAAGUGAAAAACUCUGAAGCUUAAAUGAAACAAUCUAGUACUCCAUCUUGUUGAAACAGGUGGGCGGUUCGAUCUAUUGGAUAACAACACUGAUUUUGCACGUCAUAUCAGUGAAAAGAUAAAACUAUGCAGAUAUUGGCAGGGUUUCCUGUUUCCUAUUUAUCUUCAUCUAUCCCGCUGAAAACUGCUUAACUGGCGUGAUGGCAAUUAAUUGUCCUUAACUUGUAGGGAAAAAGGAAGUUGGUUGGAAAAGAAGAUAGCAUCACAUUUCCAAAGCACAAAGUACAGAGCCCAGAUGACAUAAAAAGCAUUAUCCCAUAAUUCUCAGAUGAUUAGGCAACUUUUCAAAUAUAUGCAGUUAAGGCAUCAACCAAACACCUAGAAUGAUAACAAACUCACAAGUAAAAGUUCCAAUACGAACAAACAAAGCGAAGCUAUAUAGUAUUCAUUGGUUUUAGAAUCAGUGAAAGCAAAAGAUUAUAUAAGUGGUUACGACACAAACACAGACAACAAGAGAAAAGAUGAUGCAACUAUCAUUUGGAUAACUUAGGCCUAAAGAAAUAAAUAGUUCAAGGGAUUCCCAAAAUCAAGAUAUCUUCAAGAAUUUGAAACUUUCAAUGAAGAGCAGAUUUAGAUGCAAUGUAAGGCUUGCUUAAAUACCAAACAUCGUAGGGUUAGGAAAAAAAAAAUUUGUUUCUUUGGUAAGCAUAUGAACAACAAAUCUUUCAACAAUUAUUUUCUGCCUUAUAAAAUCAUGAAAUUCCUGGGUUUUCGCAAGACCCAUUUGCAUUUACAUCUCUGGUCCAUAAUACAUUGAUGCAUGUUAAACUAAGAUCUCUUAAGUUUACAAUCCCUGUCUUUAUCUCCCACUCACGAGUCACGACCACUAAUAUCUUAAAGUUGUACUUUCAUAAAAGAACAAGAGUAUACCUUUUCAAGCUGGAAGUGAUAGGGGCAUUGAUAUUGGAACAAAUAUCUUCCGGAAUACCAAUAGGGUCUGAAAAAGAUAUAUUGCAGAUAAAUGGUGAGAGGAGAGGAUCAGGUGCAGAUUCAUGUGCAGAUGCCCUUCCGUUCUUCAGCAGUGCCUUUCCAAGCAUUGCUGAACUACCAGUCCACAAACCCGCUUUUUGAGAUUUUCUCCUGUGCUGAAAAGCAUAGAUGACUCCUUUAAGGUUCCAACAUGAUCAACAAACUUUUCGACCAAAUUAACUAUAUUGUAAAUCUAUGAUCCCAUAUAGGCAAUAAUACCUUGAACGAGCUUGCAUGGUGCACCAUAAAAUGUCCAACUACAUCUUUCCCUAGAUUCGCUGCACACAUAGGACAAACCUGGAAUAACGGGAUUAGAGCAGCCAUCAGGUUCAAAUUCUAACUGAAACAUCAUAAACUGGUGGCAAUAAUUUAUAUUUUCCAAUUGCAUCUUCCCUUAUUUAUAAUAUUAUAAAUUUUGGAAGGCCUUCCCAUUUACCAUACCCUAAAUGAUUCAAUGCACUUUACUAAGUAAAUCUAUCAAUUUCAAGCAGCAUCCUUUUUGUAAUCAAAAUGGGAACCAUCUUGAUUGGAUGGUUCAUUAUUGACUCAAGAAUAUGAUAUUGAUAAUGCUAAUCUCAUUUAAAUCGCACACAACAAAAUAUCUGGUAAAGAAAAGCACGCACUGCAUUUUUAAAGUCAAAGCAGUGUUCUUCCUCCAAGUGGUUGCAGAGCAUUGGGACUUCAAUAUCCACAUAACAGAAAGGGCAUGGAAAACAAGAUUUUGCAUCGUCAUCUCCUUCAGAAUCUUCCGAAGCCAUAUGAUUAUCUGUUUUAACAUAUAUAGAAAAUAAAAGAUCAAUACAUAGAUAUAUGACAUGGAUGGACAUAUAUGUACACGCAUUCAUAGAGACAUGUCGAUUAAUAUAUCCAAAUCACAGGAUCAAACAAUGCAAAUAUGGGCGCAUGCACACACACAGAGACACGUAAAUAUAUAUAUCAGAGUGAGCCACCCCAGGCUAUCUCCAACACGCAGAUCUUACUCUGGCUACAAGAAACUACUAAAAUGAACUCUUUGCAGUGUUUAGUGACUAAAUAUGGACCAACACCACUUGACUUUUGCCCAAGAAGACAAUAGGCAGAGCCUAAACAAAUAUACAUUCAUCUUCUUAUCUAUGAACUGCAUAAGCUGCAAAGGAAUUAACCAGGCUCAGCAACCAUCUGAAGAUGGAUUUGUAAUUUUUCUCCAUAUGUUUUUCUAUCAAACCUUAAUUUUCUCACCUUCAUUCCAACUAAUUCUGUAAGCUGGUUCCUCCUCGUCAUCAUCAUCAUCUUCACCUUCAUGAAUGACAACACUAGAAGCAUCACGCUCCCACUUACUCUCAAGCGUGAAGGAAUCAGUACCUAAUGACUCAGAUAAAAUGCCUUCUGUUUCCUUCAAUAUCUGCUCUCUCAGGUUCUCCAGAUAAUCCAGAUAAUCCUCAUAUUCUGAAAUUUUUACAUUUAAACUACUGAGCUGAUCCGACUCUUGAUCCACCAACUCUUCAUAAUUUUCAUCCUCUGUAUCUUCUUCAUCUUCAGUAUAAUUUGUCAUGCGGAUAGAUUCUCUUAAUCUCUUUUUUGGGCGUUGAUUAGCCUCAAAUAUAAUUAUAACUUACCCACCUUAUUAAUCAAAGGAGUUUCUUCUUUCUAUGGUCUCCUGGCAACCCUAAUUCUAAGAAAAUUAGGGCCCGAAUUAUCACUAGAAUCUUCCUCCAUGGCCCUGCUUCUUAUAGGAAAUCUUUACUGUAAUAUUACACGCAUGGAAGGCUUUUAUAAACGUAUCUAGCAACUUUCUAAAAUUACCUAAUCUAGCAUGAAGGAUAUGAUGAAAUCCCAAAAUUUUCGGACUUUUAUUUAUUAAUUAAAAGAUGAUAUUUUCCGAUAAUGCCCACAACAAAGUUACCCAUAAAUUUCAAGGAGAACGCUCCCCAUUUGAAAAUUCAAGCAAAGUCGUACUCUUCACAAUGUGCGUGUUGCUUUGACAAGAAACUAAAAGAAAACUAAAGAAUCGAAAGCCAAUUUCUUUCUUAAAUCCAACCAAGUUUUCAGCUUUAAGCCCAACCCAGUUCUUGAUAACUCUCACUCACAAAAGCCAUUGCUUUACUUAAACAUCAACGAAACGAAACUGAAAUCAGCUAGUAAAAUACCCUUACUUCAAUUCCCAAAACUCUACCCAGACAAUGAGAGAAUUUGACAAACUAAAAAAGGAAACAAUUUUUUUUAAAAUAGAAAUGUUGAAGCACACAUGAGAGGUAAAAAUUAAAAAAUAAAGAAAAUCUAAGUACCAUAGUGAAGCCGAGCAGCAUGGGCAGCAGAGAGGCUCUUGGCUGCUUGAACCCUGGAAGCCCACGAGUCAACGUCCAUGGAAUCAACUCUCCGGCGACCCAAGUCAGCUUUUUCCGGCGAGAAGUGUUAGAAACCGUCCGUACGGGAAAUAGGUUUGGAUCAAAGGCUUAAAGUUUCUACCUUUCAGAUUGAGGAGGGGUGUGGUGAUGUUUUGCUUACUCACUCAUAUAUUGCUCUGAUACUGAAAGCUUUCCUGACACACAAAAGAUGUUUGAUGCAUAGCUGACACGUGGAAUUUUUCCAUUUAAUUACAUCAUUGCUUCUUUUCUUUUCUUUUUUUCAAUUAAAUAAUUGUACAUGUUAAUUUCAGAACUACUUGUCAAUUGUCAUCUUUUGCCAAAGUACAGAGAACACAUGAUUUUAUUCUAUUUUCAGUGUUAUUUAUAUAAAAUUGUAUAUUUGUUUUCCAUGGAGCAUUGACAUGUAUUUGCAGCAUGAAUAUAAAUAAUUAAUGACAUUUUUUAAUGACCACAAAAGAAAAGAGAAGAGAAAAGGAAUAAAAAAGAACUUGGUUUAUAUGACUCGUGUGAAAUACCUUUCUUCACAUCACAUGGAAGCUUUUGGCUGUCUUGAAAGAAGCUAAAGAUGUUGAUGUCAAACUUCUUUGGCUACUUUAUCUGACUGUGAAUGACGUGCGGAAAUUUGGUCAGAUUUGAGUUUUGAUUUGUUUUUUAAAGGAAGAAAAGAUUAAAGAAGGAAAGAAACAAAUAUGUUGACUGUUAGCAAAUCCAAUGUAAGAUAUUAGCUUCAAAUGUGCCUCUUAUUUUAGACACUAAUUAUGCCACCUGUAAUUUAGAAAUGUUCAUAAAAAGAACUUUCAUUAAAAUAACAACUUUACUUUGUUUGUAAGCAUUUCGCUUUUACAUUGGGAGCCUUUUAAUCACGCUUCUCACUCAAAUUACAAACACGUGUUGUUCUUGAAAAUAACACUUCGCACUAUUUUUUACUAUACUCAAAUUUGUUGGGGGUUUUCAAACUCGUGGGCUGACUAGAAAUAGAAACUAAUGACAUGAUUAAAUUUAAUGACAAAGAUUUAGGCAAAAGCUAGGAAAACAAAAUGGAGUGACAAGAAAGAAUCAGUUUCCAGAGCAGACAACCUAUCCAGGAAGGAGAUAGGCAGGGCAUGCGAUAACAAGUUGGACAAAAAGUUGCUUUAGUGUGGGAGGAUGGUGGAGUGGUGCAUGGACUUGGACCAGGACGGUGCAUUACACCUAAAAAAAGGGCCAAACAACAAAGCUGAAAAGAUUGUGGUGGGGCAUUUUCUUAUAAAGACAGCUCAAUAUCAUAUAUAUAUUUUUACUUGUUCCCUAAGUUCUAAAAGAUUGAAACCCAUCAAAGGGGUUUUUUUGUUUUUUAAAAUAAUUAUUAUUAUUAAAGACUAGUGUCUACUUAGUUUAGUGAUAAAUAGGGGGCUGUUUUGCUUGCUUUGCAGCAAAGGAACUUCCCAAAAGCCAAAAAGAGAGGAGAGAAGGAACUAAUGGCAUCAGAAUAUGAGUGGAGAUCCCAUUUGGGUUUUCUGGGUUAUUUGGGAUGAGCCCUUACCUUUACAACAAGUCCAAGAGAAUAUUUGGGUUUGGGCUGAAACACUGGGAAAUUAUGAAGAGGUCUAAUCUUAGACUGGGCUACAGGUAUUCAUGGUAUGGGCUAUCAGUAGCUUGACAGAAAAAGAAACUAAAGGAAAUCUUUCGAGUCAAAAUCAAUGGAGAUCUAUGAGUAAAAACUUUGGACAGUUUUUGGCAGAUACUAUUGUUUUAAGAUGGAAUUCAGGGACAACUGGACAAUCAUGAGGAAGAAGUCAUAGCCUUUUGGCAAUUGUGUCUGUUAAUUUGUUAACACUAAGCUUUCAUAAAGAGAUUUUGUUUUGUUUUUUACACUGUCACCAAUAAAGAUAUUAUGUUAAUUUUCCUUUGCUCUGCCUCCAUGUUCAUACUUUAACACAGAGAGAGAGAGAGAGAGAGAGAGAGAGAGAGAGAGAGAGAGAGAGUGUGUGUGUGUGUGUGGGGCUGAGAAGGCUAAGCUAAAGUCAUUAUAACUAUUUAACUUUUAUGAGUUUAGAGCCCCAUAUGGUACUUGGUAUCCAGGUAAGGCUUGAAACUAAGGGUGCAGCCAAAGUGAAAGUUUGCCCCAUAUUUAACAUUGGUGGGGAAAUAGGAAGGCCACACAUUUCAUGAUAUCAUUUACCAUCAUUCUGUUGAUUUUUUUUAUUAAAACAAAAAAACAAAAAAACAAAAAAGUUGAGAAAGAUGAAUGAUUAUGGUACUCAAGAAAGCUUUAUCAUGUUUUUAACAGAUGAGAUCUCAUAGCUGGAAAUUAUAUCUGCCCAGGGACCAGUAACAUAAAACAAACUCAUAGUCAACCUAUGCUUUUCAUGAUUAUUUAAGAAUUUGAAAGAAAAUAAAAAUGUACUCAUUAUUGGGAUAUGCCAGCCACUGCUGCUAAACAGUCUUUGAGUUGUGCUCAAUUUGUGUGUUGGGUGUAAAAGGAAAAAGAUUUAACAGUUGGUCAAAUUUUCAUAGAAAAAAGAGAGAGCCAGCAGCACCAACCAUUGUGGUAAAUCAGCACAUAUAUGCUGCAUAACAGCAGACAAAUUGCCCCAAAUUGGAUGAAAAAAAUUCAAGAUGGCAAAGCUUACAUAUGCAUCUACAGUGUCACCCAAAUUAGAGUAGCAGUGACAAAAAUGACAAAACCACAGCUCAGUUGCCCUUUCCUUUAAGCAGGCUUUGUAAUAAUUUGAAUGAUAUCUCCUGAACCACUAGCUCAACAGAAUGAUGAUAAAACCAUUAAGAAGAACAAGAAGGAGAACUAUAAGGCAUGUUUAUUUGUCUAACAAAAAAAAAAUCCAACUUGUUGAUUUUAAAGUCUAUCUAAUUAAUAAGUCAGAAUUGCAGAAUGCAUAAGCCCAUUCAGAACCUGACAGUUUCAUACUCAAUGGCUUCUGGACUUCAGGGACUUUGUAUUUUUACCAAGAAUUAUGAACAUCAGAAGUAAAUAAUAAUAACAACAAAUCCAAAUCCGAUCUGCAUACUACGAAAACAUAUAUAUAUUGGAUGUUUUAGUACACAUAUUACAAUAUCACCCAUCUCAAUAGGAAAGGUCUUCAAAAAAAAAAAAAAAAGUCUUACAAGGAACAAGGUAAUAUGAGAACAUGCAGGACAGCAACAUGGUAUUUGCUGCACAUACUCAAAAACCAAAAAGAUAUAUAAGAAGAACUAAAACUGAAAGGAACCCAGAAAAAAGAAGGUGAUCGGACCAGGAGAGCUUCAUUCCCCCGUGAAUAUGGAUCGAUGCUAUCGACACCUACAUCACUAUGCUUGGCCUUGGAGGAGGAGGAGGAGGAGGAGGAGGAGAGACCUCAAACUUCUUUAAAUGGCAGCUCCAAGAACAAACACUCAUCUCUUGAAGUUGAGAGAGAAGCUUAAAUUGCUUCCAAUAUUGAACUUCCAAAACCAAAACGUUCAUGCUUAAUGUGACAAAUUCAAAAGCAGCCACCAUGGUUAUCAUGGGAGGGAGAAGGAAAGAGCCAGAGAAGUAGCUAGCUAGGGCAUGUUAUGAGGAACUCACAGAACAUAUAAACAUGGACAUAUAUAUAUAUAUAGAUAGAUAGAUAUAGAAGUGGCUAGGAAAUUGGCUUUAUUUGCAGAGACAGACAGGUGAAAUAUUGUGAUGCACGCAUACUGUGGAGACCUAAUCUUAUAUUCCCGCAUGCACGUUUUUUCUCUUUAAUGAACAGUCUCAGGGCACGUUUCCACAGGAAAAGGAAAGCCAAGAAACAAAAGAUAUAGGACAGUGGAGGAGUUUUUUGUUUUGGAGGUGGGAUUCAUUUGAAGGGUAACAAAUUUUUCAAGGCAAAGCAAACUAGCAAAGCAUACAUGGUGCCCCAAAGGUGGGGCUAGCCUAGCUCCUUGUAAAGCCAACCCCUUCAUCACAAAGGAUCUUUAUCUAUGUUGGUCUUUGAAUUUUUUGCUCUUCUCUCUUCUCUUUUGGUCAGUUCAUGUCAAAAAAGGAUUAUAAUUUUCUUUUUGUGUUGCUUUUGAUGUGUUCGGUGGUUUGAUUUGGGGUCACUCUGUUAUUUUCAGAAUCUUAUGAGAUCAAAUUAUAAUCUUCAGACAUGUGUUUUAGCUGGGUCAAGACUCAAAAUUGUACUUAUGUCUUGUGGUUGACCAUCUAAAUUUCAUUAUGACACAGUUAGACCAUGAUUUGCUUUAGGAAAGAUAAAAAUAUGUAUCAUAAUUUAUUCCUACCUAAGCUCAUGCUCAUGAUAUGCCAAAAUAUGUACUAGUCUAUGAAUUAGUUUGUCCGCUAAUACUACUAUGUAUCUAAGUCAUUCAGAUUUUACGUCAUUCGUCUUUAUUGAAUUUUUAACUUUGAUUCGUUUAGCGUAUGUUAUAACCAUAAUACUUUUUGAAAAUACAAUAUUUUCCUUGUUAACUUAUUGUAUUUAGUGGGGGUUUCCAUUUGUCUUGACAACUGAUUGACACUCUCCACCUAAAGGGCUCAAGAUAAGAUUGCAACGAAUGUCUCUAUCAAAUGGCUAAUGUCUUUCAAUCUCGCAACGGCCAUUUUUCUGUAAGCUUCCCGAUUGAAAAAGGAAUAAAGGACCACCGUUGUUAUGUUGCGUAAGGUCUUUACCCAAACCUUUCCACAGCCCACAGCACACCUGGCCCCACCUGCCUCCUCUCCCAUAACCAACUGCCACGUGUAUUUAGACUUGCAGGGAGCCUCGCACGCCCGUUGAGAGAAAAAAAAGGGCGGGUUCCGGGUUUCACUUUAAUAACCGAACCCAACUUCGCGUGAAAGAUACUAAAGGUGGGUGGGGCCGAUAAGAAACCUCCCUACAGCAGUGGUGGGCCCCUCCUUGUGAAAGUCUUACAAACACAUGGGCCCCCAUUUGGUUUCGACAAGCCCAUGGGCUCCAAUUUGGACGCAACUCAAUUCGGGUUGACCCGAAAAGGCUUAAACCCUGGAAAUCCCCUAAUUGAUAUCAUUGGCUUCUUCUGUGGUGUAGUCUCAGUGAAAAAGUAUAGCAGCCAUGAAUCGAGCAAAGGCAGCGUUGCUCAAAACCCUUGGCUUCGCCAACGCGCUCGUGUUGACCAGGUCCUACGUCACAACUCGGCCGAUUUGUUCUCAGGUGACUCAAUUCCCUCACCUCUCUCACUUUCAUUCUGAUCAAUCAUGCGGUUUUCAUUUCCUCAAUACCCAUCAAAGCCUGUUCUUUUCCUCGGCCCCCAACUCGGUUUUGCAACUGGUUUUGGCCAACCAGUGGUCCGCUGAGUUGGAGAACGAGUUAUCUGAGUCCUACCCAUCACUGACCCACGAUGCAGUUAUCUAUGUUUUGAAGAAACUGGAUAAAGACCCAAAAAAGGCUUGGGAUUUUUUCAACUGGGUCUGUGAGAAAAAUGGUUUUAAGCCAAGCUCUUUGGUGUUUAACUUGAUGCUUGGGGUUUUAGGGCACAAGGAUUCAAUGAAACAGUUUUGGAUCACUCUGAGGCAAAUGAAAGAGCAAGGCUUUUACAUUGAAGUGCAAACGUAUUCGGCAAUCGCUGAACGGCUUAAAAAGGGGAAGAUGGAUAAUGAUGUUGUGGCUUUCAAGCAUUUUUUUGAAAGGAUGAUGAAAGAUAAUGCGACGGAUGAGGUUGCGAAGAAGGUGGCCGAUGUUGUUUCAGGGUCAGAGUGGAGUGCUGGGAUUGAGAAAGAGUUGGGGGAGCUUAAAAUUACGUUAUCUGAUAAUUUUGUCGUAAGGGUAUUGAAGGAACUUAGAAUUUGCCCAUCGAAAGCUUUGAGCUUUUUCCAUUGGGUCGGUCAAAGUUCCGGUUAUGAACACAAUACUAUCACAUAUAAUGCAGUUGCAAGGAUUCUUGCACAGGCUGACUCAAUUGGGGAGUUUUGGAGUGUGAUUGAGGAAAUGAAGGGUGCAGGUCAUGAACUAGAUUUGGACACUUAUAUAAAGAUUACGAGGCAGUUUCAGAAGAGCAAGAUGAUGGAGGAUGCGGUGAAGCUAUAUGAGCUCAUGAUGGAUGGCCCGUAUAAGCCUUCUGCUCAGGAUUGCAGCAUGCUUUUACGGAGCAUCUCAGCAAAUGAUAAACCAGAUUUGGAUAUGGUGUUUAGAGUUGCAAAGAAAUUCGAGUCUGCAGGGAAUACACUCUCUAAGGCUGUUUAUGAUGGAAUUCAUAGGUCUUUGACAAGUGCGGGCAGUUUUGAUGAAGCAGAGAAAAUUACGAAGGUUAUGAGAAAUGCAGGGUAUGAGCCAGACAACAUUACAUACAGUCAGUUGGUCUUUGGACUUUGUAAGGCCAAGAGACUUGAAGAAGCCUGCAAAGUGCUGGAUGAGAUGGAAGCAAAUGGGUGUGUUCCUGAUAUCAUGACUUGGACCAUUUUGAUUCAAGGACACUGUGCUGCUAAUGAAGUUGACACGGCGCUGGUUUGUUUUGCAAAGAUGAUCGAAAAAGGCUGUGAUGCUGAUGCUGAUCUACUGGAUGUCUUGAUAAACGGAUUCCUUAAGCAGAGGAAGAUAGAGGGUGCAUACAAAUUGCUUAUUGAAAUGGUGAAUAUGACUCGUUUAAGACCUUGGCAAGCCACAUACAAAAAUCUUAUCGAAAACCUGUUAGGAGUUAGAAAACUCGACGAAGCAUUCGCACUUCUUCAUUUAAUGAAGAAACAGAGCUACCCACCUUAUCCAGAUCCUUUUGUCCAAUAUUUAUCAAAAUUUGGUUCAGUGGAGGAUGCUGCAGAAUUUUUCAAGGCAUUGUCUGUGAAGGAAUAUCCCUCGUCUGCCGCUUAUGUCCAUGUUUUCAAAUCAUUCUUUAAAGAAGGUAGAGACUCUGAGGCCAAAGAACUGCUUUAUAAAUGCCCUUAUCAUAUUCGAAAACUUGGUGAAAUUUCCAAACUUUUUGGUUCUACAGAAGGCAAGCAGACUGCUGCUUGACAUGUAUUUGUUGUAGUAAAGUUCAUGGUCAACUACAUGAACUGUAACGUCUGCACAUUUUUCAACACAAUAGGAAAUUAGCCUCUCUUUCUUAUUUUCUUCAAUGUUAGUCCAUUUUAAAGUUAUUCCUGUCAAUUGAUGCAUACAGCCUACCAUUUAUGAGAUCUCAGGAAGGGCGUGAUGCUUCAAAAGAAUAUAGCCAGUUUGAUGUUUUUGUAUAGCUUUCUUUUUUCAUUUUUCUUUUUUCCUUUUUCGGGUACAGAUUAUAUGAUAAUUUUAACGAUAAUCUUCAUCACAAAGGAAAGGAAGCUGCUAAUGCUUGAAAAUGAAUUAGAUUAUAAGUCACAGUUUGCAGUAGGCAUAAAAAUACAUUGUUCACAAGAUGUGAAAAUUAGUCGAUUCAGUCAGGUAGCUCAGAACGCUCCCUCCUAGCUGUAUCUAUCAUUGUACUCAAGAAUUUGCUUGGGUCGCAACCAUAAGGACUUGCAAGAGCCGCAUGCCCUAGGAAUGGAAGCUUUCUUAAAGAUCGUCCACUCAAUCCCUAACCAAAGUAAAGAAGCAAAAUCAACAAUCAAAUAGCUUUAUAAAAUAGAAAAAAAAAGGGACUAAUUUAGAAGGCAUUGAAGAAUCAGUUCCUCACCUCACAUGCUUCUGCUGUUUCAAGCAAUUGUUUACACAUGUGUAGUGUUCGGGCAUCUUGAACCUCAGGCAUAUUCAAUUUCUCUUUCAAGCUACCGUAGUUAGGAAGCAUGAGGCUUUCACAAUCCUAAAAUUCACAAUGUUCAUUAGACAUGGCUUCAAUUUGAAACUUCCCCACAUUAGCACUUAAUGGAGAAGGUAAUAUAUUAAAGCUUUAACAAAUAUGGUAUCUGAAGAAGGUAAGACAUGGACCUCAAAAUUUGAUAAAAUUCCUGUUCGUAUAAGUUCCUGCAAGCAGGACCUUAGAAUUUCAUAACGCGCUUGCAGAGUUGGGGGGCCGACAUAUGCUUUUAUAUCAGCUCGAUCAACAAACGCAAUAUCUGCAACCCAAUAAAUGGUAAAUACAUAAAUACUCAGAUUCUUAGAGUUUUUCCGCCUUCGACACAGAAAAUAAAAUAUAUCAUUGGGGAAAGAGCGAGGAGGAUAAAAAAUGCUCCCAGCAAACAAAAGAAAGAACACCAACAAUAAGAAAAAAUGAGAAUAUCAUUCAGCUAAAAACUUUGAUCCCAGCAAAUAGGUUGGAAAUUAGGGAAUGCGGGAAUCUGCUUCUGUAGCAUAUUAAUAUACAGCAAUGCCUAUCUAUUUUUAUAGCUCCUCAGAACCACAGUGGAUUGGAGGCUGAUGAGAAUACUAUCAUAGGCAAACCACAAAUAGGCUAAACCGUUUUAUACAGUGAGAAACGUACAUAAACUAUUUCCGAGCUACAACUUUCCACUCCAAGUUAAAGAUGAAAAAUAGCAAGCAAACCCAGGGAAGUUCAUUUACCAUGUUAGGAAAUUGAUUACAGGCUUACCAAUAGCAGCCGUUAUGUUGGAUGUUGUCAGAAUUAUCACAUUCGGUGCUGAUUUCAACUUGUCCAGCUGAGUUAGCAGCGCAUUCACUACCUGGCAUGUCAUUUUUUAGGUGCUAUUUGGACGGAAAAUGAGCUAGUGUGAACCAUAUCCAAAAAAUUUCUCUAUGUUCACAAUAUGUUCAAUCAAAAAGCUUAGAAAGUAUUCUAGAAUAGGAGAAAUGUGAGAGCAUGGUACCCGAAUAGAAUCUGAAGGUUCAGAACCAGAUAGAGCAGCUUUUCUAGCAGCAGCGAGGCUUUCAACUUCAUCUGCAGCAUCACCGCAUAUAUAUAAUCACAACCCAGAUGGAAGAAAGAUGACCAUGAAAUCAGAAAUCACAGUAAAAUUAAAUCUCACCAAUCAAAACAAAUACCAGAUUGUUUUCCUCUUCUACCAUCUCUUGAAUUUUUUGGAAAAGCUUUGCAACCUAAGAUUGAAAAAUAUUUUAUACAAACUGCAUAUACGAAAUCCCAACUCUUGUUUACAAAGAGCAGAAGCAUCUUUUGAGAAUUAUAAUAUCAACUACGUACCAAUUUGCCACUCUCGGAGAACCAUUUACUGAAUAAAGAAUGUGCAUUAACUUCAAUCAAUUGGCACUGUGGAUAUCUGCAAUGCAUAAAGUAAUGAGUCUGGAAAUUUACGCACACAGGCUUCCAUUUUAGUAAUAUAUAAUCGUCUGAACAAAACAAUACAUAAACAAACCUGGAGUUAAAUCGAAUAGAUAGUUUUUGAGCCAGUGCUUUACAUAAAGAGGUUUUUCCAGUGCCUGGAGGUCCAUGUAAAAGAACAAUGCUGCAAAGGGAUAGAAACAAUCAUAUUGGUGCUAAAGAGCAAUUCCCCAAUAAUCAUAAAAUACAGGCAUAUGUGUACACAGAUGAAAUCAACAAACAAGUCCUUACCGAUUCCAUGACACAAGGAAAGGAUUGACACCCUUCUCAGUAAAAAGCAACGCACUAGCUGCAUACCGCAGUAACCUUUGCUUGAGACCAGAUUCAUAAAUUAAGCUGGAAAGGUAAAAGACCAUGUCACAACAUCAGUUGAUCUCAACCUACUAAUGGGGGAAAAAGUAAAUAGGUAGCAAAUUAACCUUUCCCACAUCCCAUCAAAUUCCUUCGCAGGAAGAAUCCAUUCAUUAAAGGUAGAAGGUUGUCCAUCGCCACUUACGUCCUCACAUGCUCCCUCUUCGCUAAGCUGACAAAGCAAAUAUGAGAAAAAGAUCAAUACUCGAAACAGAUAUUGAGUCGCAAAGCAGUUCAGAUGUCACGGGCAGUACCAACUCAGACAACCCUUACCACCAGGCACCAAAUAAAGCAGAAUUCUAAAAGACGAUAGUAACAGACUGUUGCUAGUUAAAGAUAAAUAAACAAAAGCAAACUGAUACACCUACUGCCUAUGCUAUUCAUGAGCACUGCAAUUCACCUGAAAAACAUGCACAACAGGCUUCACUUGCCAGAACAAAAGGAUCUCAUGGUUCUGCACCCACUCAUCUACAAAAAUAAACAGUUCAGUAAUCAGAAAUGGUGAAUAUCUGAAAACUGCAUCAUCCUCCUCCUCCUUUAUAUGGUUAGAAAAGAAAUAAAAAUAGUGCUGCAGUCAACUUUCCAUUUUAUCAGAUGAAAAAGUUCAGCUGAUAAAAAGUUGCAAUAUUGAGCACAGCUGAUCAUCAAGUUUACAAAAUUUCUUCUCUUUUCCUUCAAUAUUUUAUUAACCUCAGUGAUCAAAUUCAUAGAUAAAGAAAAAUAAAUAAAAAAUACCCGUGUCACAAAUACAGAUUCUUUGCACAUUUUCCGUCAGGAACUGAUCGUCGGGCGGCACGGGCACAGGUCCAUCAGUAUAGCUUAAACUCCUCUUUUCAAGCAUUCUAAGCAUUUAACAAAAAGGAAACCAAAAGAGACGUUAAAACGAACAUAUAAAACCCAAUUAAGAUACAACUGAGAAUCAUUGCUCGAAAGUCAAGAUUAAUGGAGUUUAGUAGCACACCUCUCAACGGCUGACCGUACAUCGUCAAUCCGAGCUGUGCUUGAGGGCUUGAGGGAGACUUCAACUGAAACCCACAAUCAAUUUUCUUUAAAGAAAGUAAAUUUACAACUAAAUCAUCAACACAACCUCAAAUUGGAACAAUUUGAAACUCAAAAUGAUGAAGAUGAAGUCGAACCGACCUGAAACAAGUACUUUGUCUUGGGGAAGACUAGGAGAAGGAGCUGAGUCUACAGCGAUGAAGCCGUUUUGGUCCGGAAUCACGGUGUCCUGAGGGUUUUGCAGAGAGAUCUCCAUGGGACUGGGAGUACUCAUUUCGGGUUUCGGGUUUGAGAGACUAUGAAGCGGAAAGCAUCACACAGAGAAUCGAGACCAGCUUGGAGGGGAUGAGCCAAACCCUAGAGCCCAAAGAGAAAUCCGGUAAAUUGUUCUUCAAAAUGGGCGGGAAUAUUUUGAAACUUCGUGUCCAGCAAUUUAUAAUAUACAUUUUCUUUUUCAAAUAAAUUAUAUCUUUUUUUAUUAGUUUUAUAAGAUUUGAUUUUUUAUUAUCUAUACUAGCCCUUGACACAUGCUCACGCAUGUGCCAAUUGGUUUUCUUUUUCUUUUUUAUUUUAUUUUUAGAAUUAAUAAAAGAUAACAGGGUAGUUAUGUUCCAUAAAGGUAGGACUUAUUAUCUUAUUUUGUUUUUAAUUUUAAUUUUUUUAAUAUUAAAAAAUGUGAAUUUACCAUAUUAUCGUCAUUUAAUUAAUAAUUUCAAUUCUUAAUGUUUGAAUUAACAAAGAGUAUUUUCUGGUAUUUUGAAUGUUUCACCAUUCUCUGCCUUUUGCUUUAUAUAUAUAGAUUAGUCUCUCUGCAAGCGCUUCCGCACCUGCAAGAGGCUUUUUAUUUAAAUUUUUUUUAAUGUAUUUUAGAAUUAAAAAAGAUAAUUGGUAGUUAUGUUCUAUAAAAAUAGGAUUCAUUAUCUGACUUUUCGUUUAAUUUUAAUUUUUUUAAUAUAAAAAAGUGUGAAUUUACCAUAUGAAAAGUGCAAACAACGCUAUUUGAUCUAUAAUAAUUGAAAUUCAAAUAAAGUUAGAACUCUAAUUUUUUUUUCUUUCUUUCUUCAACUUACCCAAAAAUGUCUUGACAUAUUGUGUAUUAAUGAUUUAAAAAUGAGUUCCUCAUGUUUUAAACUUGAGUUAGUUUUAAGUAUAUGUUUUACAAUUUUCUGCCUUUUACUUUAUAUAUAUAGAAGCACAAGUUAAAAAUUCUUAAUCACAUUACCUUCUUUUUUUAUAUAAACGAACUCACGUGCAUAAUGGGAAUCACAUCCGCUCUAACCAACUUGACCAAGUCCAUAUCUGCAACAUUACUUUUUUUGUAACCAUAGAUUUAUUACGAAGUUAACCUUUUUAAUACAUAAAAAGGUUUACCUAAUUAAAUUAUUAAUUGUUCUUAACCAGUUACAUUUGUUUUCAAAAUAUGGAUUUAAAAAAAUAUAAGAGAGAUGUCUUUUCUUUGGUAGCACCAUGAAUGGAAAUGGGGCCUUGCCCAGCCCACUUUGUAUGCUUAUUUUCCAUUUUGUAUGUGUUCACCUCACAUGCCCAUGAAAGAUAAAAUCAUCAUGUCACCAAAAGGAUGUGAUUUGCCAACUUAUCUCACUCCUUUCUAAUGGUAGCGAUGUGAGGCUCUAACUUUCCCAAGAUAACAUGGCCCAUACAAGACUUUGUUAGAGAAGAAAAACAACCAUGAAGAAAAAGUUACAGCCUGAGGAUGACAGAGAACUUGAAAUUCUCAAGGCUGUGGCACAAGCUUGGUACAGCCACUCCAGCGGCUCUAGGCCCACGUCCGAAUUUGAUGCUCACCGGAGAAAUUUCACAGGCAGAUUACCGUCUCGGUUCAAGCUCGAAGCGAUGAGAAAGUCUACAUCAGCUAGUAAUCAGGCUAGUGGUUAUGCAGCAUGGGACUUUGGGCAGUCACUAUGGGAUGCUUAUGAGAUUGUGGCUGUGUCCAAAAGGUUAGAGACUGGGUUAUUCGUUGAUGAAAAUCCAUUCAAUAAGCUGGAUAGUCCGACCCGAGUCAUUAGGAGGCGUAGGGAGAGCAAGCACAGCCUCAGAAGUUUGUUUGAUAAAAUGUCUUCAAGGAGAUUUAAUGAGGCUGAUGUUCCACCUGAUAAUGAUACUUAAUUCUGGUCCUUCUGUGAGGUUCUUGUCUCUUUUUUUCUUCGCAGGAUUUUCGUUCUUGUUAAUGUGAAUUGCAGCUCAAGCUUACCUUACCAUCGCAAUUUUCUUCUAAUAUAGCAAACAGGGGAAUGGGGUGGGGAGAGCUUAUACUUGGGUCAUUGUGCCUAUAACUUUUUACACCAGAAGUACAUUAAUAAGAGGAGUCUGAAUGGACCUUUUUUUGUGUGUGUGUGUUUGUGUUUGUUUGUUUGUGUUGUUACGUGCCAGUGUACCUAUGCUUAAGAAUAAUCCUCUUUUGCCUUUUUCCGAAUUCCUCCAUGUAUUCUUUAUGGCUUCUUAUCUAUGUUUUGUGUUUUGAUGCUGGUGGUGGUUUGGUGAGAUCUGUAGAUGAUUGAUUUUGAAGUGACAAGAUAUGCAAAACUAUAUUCAGUUCUAUACCAGCUUUUAUCAUUACCUAAAUAAGGCUUGGAUCAAUGCUUUCUUUUGGGGAUCAAAUACCCUACAAGUUGAGACCUUUGCUUUAGAAUCUCUUCAGAUGCAUAGUCCAAUUUGAUCUUGAAAAUGAUAAGUUAUUCCCCACAUUAUUGUGGUGCUGGUCCUGGAACCUGAUAGAUGCCCUGCCAUGGGCUUCAGAUCAGGUGCUCAAAACAAAGAUGGCAUAAGACAUGUGGAAAGCACGAUUCGAUUCGAUAUAAACAUAUUUUCCCCCACAUCACGGUACUCUUGUCAUCUGAUAUUCCAAUGAAUUGGCUGAACUUAACUACUUUAGGUUGGUAGCUCAAGCCCUAUGCUAGCCAUACAUAUCAAUAUUGCAGCACUUGGCUGAGGCAGGCUCAAGCAAGCCAGUUAAAUAUUUGGUACCUUUGACCUAUCAAAGAAAACGCUUCUGAAGGGCUCUUGGAGGCCAUUUUUCUGCAUAACUUGUACCUCUAGUAGUAUUAGUAUAUGUAUUGUCGUCCAUUCCUUCAACUUCAACAGAAAAAGUUAAAGCAAAUGGGAGGCCACAUCUCUGAUGUUCAUACGGCCAUUGCUUUGCUGCAUUAAUAACAAGAGCAGUAUACCAGCAGAGGAGUAACCCAUCAAAACUAUGAACAAGAACAGCAAUAACAGCAAAUAUAACUAUAACUUUAACUUGCUUAUUUAAUAAGUGAAAUGCAUUUAACUUGACAAUGGCAUCCUACUAAGAGCCAAGGAACUUCAGCAUUUAUAAAAGACAGGCACUUUAUUUAUGUAACUGGUGGUGUAGGGUAGCACACUAGUUUAUGACCGACGCUCUCCAAAAGCCUUAACGCCCUUUGAAGGUCUUCCACUUGCACAAUUCAAAUCCCUUGUGCUUGUCCUCGAUGAAGCCGUCAGCUUGAACAUCGACGGUUUCCUCAAAAACGACGCGGUUCCCAUUCUUGUCACUCUGUGUGACUCUCUCAGUCACUUUAACUGACUUGUGAGCCUCAGGGAUGCGCUGCUUUUCCUGGUAACCGCCAUAGUCCUCUCUUACACUGGCUUGGUUGUUGAAAAGGGUUUGGCCAUAGUGAGGGACUUCAGUGAGAACACUAGGGGCUCUUACGAUCCUUUGAACAUGAGAAUAAUAAUCCGAGCCAUUUUGGCGCUUGGUUGGGUACUCGUAGCUUCUGCUCAUUUUUCUGCAAUCACAAGUUGAAAGUAUUAGGAGCAUUAAGCUUCAAUUUAUAGACAGAAAUGUUUUGCUUUUAUUCUAAAAUGAUAAGUGUGGUAUCUAAUUCUCUAUCUUUUUGUCUAUAUCAAACAGUUGAUUCAAGCAUAUGAAUCUAGUAAUGCUGGAAGGAGGUGACCCUAAAAUUGGAUAUUUU
Molecule: long non-coding RNA, 67278 nt
Filed under: Prunus persica (peach)
Lineage: Eukaryota; Viridiplantae; Streptophyta; Magnoliopsida; Rosales; Rosaceae
Description: long non-coding RNA (PPER_LNC005486)
Source: RNAcentral